CCUGAAGAGAAGAAAGUACCCGGUCCGUAGGUCGUAGGCACUGUAGAACUUCUCCUAGCCACGACACAGGUACAUGUGGCCCUCCUCGAUCACCAACUCCACGUCCCACAGCCUGCGAACCCCGCUGCCGGCCUGUCGGAGCUUCACAUUAUGUGGCGGAUCUUCACCCAGCAUGUUCAUAAAAGUGUCAGACAGCCUCUGCAAUUUGGGACAAGGAGUGAUGUAGCAAACAACAGAGUUUUCAUAAUGAGAUGGGUGAAGGGGAGAUCUCUCGUUUUAUAUACCUGCCUCGUGGCUGAUACUGAAGAACUCAAAAGCAUCCAACUCUUACUCCGGUGAGGCAGAGCGGCGGUGGCUGCUUCCCCCCAUCUCUGGUAAGCAGCAGAAGAGACCAAUUAGUACCAGGAUUAUACAUCGACUAAUUAUACAUCUGACCCCAUUUAUAAAACAUGUGAUGUAUUCCACAAUACAAAGAACAACUACCAUUAAUAGGUUGUUGUUUAGAAGGUUUCCCACAUGUGUAUCAGAGAACAAACAUAUGAUCUAAGGUGAAACAUUAGUGCCAUGGUUAGUGGUAAUUGGUAAAUGCUAUUUCUUUCUUUAGUCGAUUUCAUUUGCCUUGGUCUGAGAAAAAAUGCUACAGUUAAGAAAUGCAAACAUCAGAUUAGAAAUUAUGUAGAAUAGAUAAUCAACUUUGCUGAUUCCUAAUAAUAGACUUAUUGAUUGACAUUUAGGAUCAAAAUGCAACCAAUGAAAAAAGAAAACAGAGGAUCAGAGACAAGCCAUGUCUUGCAUUGUUUCUAUUUUUGUGUUUACGGAAGUACCUAAUGGUAUUUUUAUGAUGUUUUGCAGCUGGUGAAAACGUAUGAAAUUGCAUUGUUUUGCAGCUGGUGAAAGAAGCACCUAAUUGCAUUAACACAUGUCCAGUUCCAAUAGAAAUCUUGGGGUACAUUCAUGCUUGAGACCCAUAACAGGAGCUUACUAGCAUUAUGCAUGCAUUAACACAUGCAUCAAGCACCAGCUGCAUUGUUUUGCAGCUGGUGAAAGAAGCACCUAAACUACAAUACCUUACAUGUAAGCAGUGCAAAAGGAGAUGAAGAAGAUAUCAGUUGCUAAACCCGACAGCAAUUGUUACACCGCUUUAAUAUCUCUCAACACUUUCUAGUAGCAACUAACAACCUGUAUCAUCACAUAAGGUUUGCCCUAUUGAAGUUUUGCACGAUUUGGAAUAUAUAACAGUUAAUGAUGUAAUAUGGCAAUGAAGCAAUUGCAUUUAAAAAACUAAGACAUGUGGAAGAGUGGACAUUGUACCUGUCAAGGGAGAGGAUUGCUCUGCGACACCACAACUUCUCAAACUUGGCCUUCACAACACACUACAUAGACAGAUGUAAACUAAAAUAUGAAUUCCUUUGCACUGGGAUCAUAAAGCAAAAUAUUUAGAACUGAAUCAUAUAGUAAUUAAUCACAAUCUACAGGGCUGCUGCACUCUAAUCUUUGCAAAAGAACAAAAAAAUAACAUUGUUUUAACCUAAACAGAAGUGCCAAAUACUAAACAAUGACCAUUGUUGUUAUACUAGUGAACUAUCUGCUAGAGAUUCUACACCCAUACUGAAAGCAAUGUACGAGGCUACGAGCCUGGCUCAAGAAGGAAUACUCCAACAGGCUAUGCAUUCCCAAUGUUUGGUGUGUGACUGACUUUUGUGUACACUAGGCCAUCACUGAAUACACGAGUAUGAUAUCCAUAUCAGAGGUUGAUGAAUACAGAUGUUGUUAUGUUGAUUACAUCUGCGUGUGUGCAAAGUGGUCAUAGUGAAUUAGAAAAUAACAGAAAAAGAGGACCCUCUUUUAAAGUGCUCGCAAUUGUUUUUUAGUUUGAUAUGUCUUCACAAUAUGGGUGUGUGCAUUUCUCAAAUACAGAGGCCCUAUGAUCUUCUUAACUUAUCUGAAAAAUAUUAUUCGACAUUUCAGGCCUUGGAUUACUGUCAGCUACGAGAUGAAGUUCGGAGAAAGGAGCUAAAACUUGACUCACCAAGUCUGCUCUAUAUUGUAUCAUACAGUUCAUAUUUUGUUUCUUCGGAAAUUUCUGAAAUUCAAAGUUACCCUCGAAGUGGUAGAGAAUGGACAGAACUAGAGCAUGGGCCAUUGUCAGCUUCUGUGUUAGUACCUUGAGCCCUGGUCACCUUGAGCUUCUGUGUUAUUGCCUACGAGGUGCCACCUUUUUGGCGCACCAAGGAGCUGGAGUGGCUGGAGGUCGAGCUGGGCUGCUAGACGUCGACGGGGCGGAUCUCGACUGCGAGGGAGUCAGUCCAUGGUGAUGGAGUCGGCGCUGGACAGGUGGGAGGGAAUGGGGAAUGGUGGAGAGAGGGAGGAAGGAGGAAGGAGGAGAGGUACCUGGUCGCCGAAGGGGUCGGGGUCGGGGUCGGCGAAGGGGUUGCGGUCGGGAUCCGAGCUCUUCCGGUUCCUCGCUCGCCGCGGUCGAAGGAGAGCAGGGGCCGGUGGCGGAGCACGGCAGGGGCAGGCGGGAUGGGCGCGUCAGGGCCGCGCUCGCCGGCGUGCAGGCGCGGCGGACGGAGGGGGCGGAGCAAGGGGGCGGCGGCGUACGGUUGGGGUCGAGGAGUGGGGGAUCUGGCGAGCGAGAGGGAGGGAGGGAGGCGACAGUGCGAGGGGAACAAGUAUAAAAAUUCUAAUGGCGCACCUCCCCCUGGUGCGCCAUAAGUACGUCGAUUCUAAUGGCGCACCUCCCCCUGGUGCGCCAUUAGAAUUUUGUUUUACUUACUAGCCCGACUGGUCAGGUUAUAUCCCACCUAACCCUAUCUCCAUCAGAACACGCCCACUAGCCCGACUGGUCAGCACGCAGCACACACACUAGGAGGUCCUGGGUUCGAUUCCCAGGCUCCCCAAUUUUUUUUAUGCAUUUAAAAUGCUGUUUGAUAUUUAUUUGUGUUUAAAUAUGUUCAAACUUGUUUAAAUCAUAACAGUAAUAUUUUUUUUAUAAAAACAGUAAUAAUUUUUAUAAAAAAUGCAUUUAAAAUGCUGUUUGAUAUUUAUUUGUGUUUAAAUAUGUUGAAACUUGUUUAAAUCAUAACAGUAAUAAUUUUUUAUAAAAAUAGUAAUAAUUUUUAUAAAAACAGGGUGCGGGGGGUGCUCGACGGCGGUGGAGCGGGGGAGGGUGCGGUGGGUCGUCGGGAGUUGCGGGGGGUGCUCUGUCCUUGUCGUUACCGGUGUAGGAUUCCAUCGUUACCCCGGAGUUCUGAUAACCAUCGCUCUUCAUGUCCUUGUCCUCGGUGUAGNNNNNNNNNNNNNNNNNNNNNNNNNNNNNNNNNNNNNNNNNNNNNNNNNNNNNNNNNNNNNNNNNNNNNNNNNNNNNNNNNNNNNNNNNNNNNNNNNNNNNNNNNNNNNNNNNNNNNNNNNNNNNNNNNNNNNNNNNNNNNNNNNNNNNNNNNNNNNNNNNNNNNNNNNNNNNNNNNNNNNNNNNNNNNNNNNNNNNNNNNNNNNNNNNNNNNNNNNNNNNNNNNNNNNNNNNNNNNNNNNNNNNNNNNNNNNNNNNNNNNNNNNNNNNNNNNNNNNNNNNNNNNNNNNNNNNNNNNNNNNNNNNNNNNNNNNNNNNNNNNNNNNNNNNNNNNNNNNNNNNNNNNNNNNNNNNNNNNNNNNNNNNNNNNNNNNNNNNNNNNNNNNNNNNNNNNNNNNNNNNNNNNNNNNNNNNNNNNNNNNNNNNNNNNNNNNNNNNNNNNNNNNNNNNNNNNNNNNNNNNNNNNNNNNNNNNNNNNNNNNNNNNNNNNNNNNNNNNNNNNNNNNNNNNNNNNNNNNNNNNNNNNNNNNNNNNNNNNNNNNNNNNNNNNNNNNNNNNNNNNNNNNNNNNNNNNNNNNNNNNNNNNNNNNNNNNNNNNNNNNNNNNNNNNNNNNNNNNNNNNNNNNNNNNNNNNNNNNNNNNNNNNNNNNNNNNNNNNNNNNNNNNNNNNNNNNNNNNNNNNNNNNNNNNNNNNNNNNNNNNNNNNNNNNNNNNNNNNNNNNNNNNNNNNNNNNNNNNNNNNNNNNNNNNNNNGGGUGCUCGGCGGCGAGGGGGACCGGAUCUGGCGAGGUGGGAUAGCGAUCGCGAGAUGGAGGGGAUCGAGAUCAAGUGUCCAUGAAAUAUACACUAAUGGCGCACGGGGAGCAGUGCGCCAUUACUAGCUUAAACUAGUAAUGGCGCACUGCACAAGGUGCGCCAUUAGUAGUUUUGCAAAAAAGUAAAAAAAUAAAAAAAAUAUUUUAGUGGCGCACUAUGUUGCUGGUGCGCCAUUACUAGUUACAACUAGUAAUGGCGCACUAUGUCCUGGUGCGCCAUUAGUAUGUCUGGCAAAAUAAAAAAAAUUGUUACUAAUGGCGCACCGUUUGUCUGGUGCGCCAUUAGUGUCUUUCACACUAAUGGCGCACCAGCACAUGGUGCGCCAUUGCUCUAUAGCAAUGGCACACCACAUGUCUGGUGCGCCAUUAGUGGCCAUUCCAUCUAUAGCCCUUUUCCUAGUAGUGCUGGGACGGCAUCUUCGGUCUCCAGGCGGACUGCGUCGGGCCUGGUGACUCGUAUUACCUGAUUAGGGCCUUCCCACUUUGGCGUCAACUUGUUGGUAUUCUUGGCCAACUGAACGCGCCGAAGAACAAGGUCGCCUUCCUAAAAGCUUCGGGCAUGAACCUUGCGGCUAUGCUAGCGGCGCAAGGCUUGCUAGUAGCGUGCUGCUCUCACAGCCGCCCAAAGACGAUCUUCCUCAAGGAGCGUUGCGUCAUCUUGCCGCAAAUGCUCUCGCUCAAGCUCAUCAUAAGCGAGCACUCGAGGUGACCCGUAUAUGAGUUCCGUGGGGAGAACUGCCUCUGCCCCUUAUACUAGGGCAAAGGGUGUCUGGCCGGUGGCUCGAUUUGGCGUCGUCCUGAUGGACCAAAUAACCGCCGGCAACUCAUCAAUCCAGCGCCUUCCGCUCUUGUGCAGCCUGUCAAAGGUCUUCGUUCUCAGGCCUCGCAACACUUCAGCAUUCGCCCUCUCCGCUUGGCCGUUGCUCCGAGGGUGUGCCACGGAAGCAAAACAGACCUUGCUACCGAGGUCUUGAAUGUACUGCCUGAAGGUGUGGCUUUUGAACUCGUGCCGUUGUCGGUGAUAAUUCUGCUUGGCACACCACAGCGGCAGACCAGUCCCUUGAAGAACUUGACGGCUGACUGUGCUGUCACCUUUCUCACCGCUUCCACUUCCAGCCAAUUUGUGAACUUGUCGAUUGCAAUGUACAAGUACUCAAAGCCCCCUAAUGCACGGGGGAAGGGGCCCAGUAUAUCGAGCCCCCAGACCAAGAAUGGCCAAGAGAGAGGGAUUGGUUGAAGGGCUUGAGCUGGUUGAUGAAGCUUCUUUGAAUGGAACUGACACGCUUCACACUUGGUUACUAGUGUCGUCGCAUCCUAGAGGGCGGUGGGCAGAAGAAACCUUGCCGAAACGCCUUGCCGGCAAGGGCCCUCGACCCUAUGUGGGAGCCACAUAUGCCUCCAUGUAUCUCUGCCAACAGCUCCAGUCCUUCCUCCGGGGGGAUGCACUUCAAUUUCACUCCAUUCGGCCUCCUCCUAUACAUGACGUCAUCGAUGAACUGGUACAGGGCAGACCGAUGGGCUACUUUUUCCGCUUCUUCCUGCUCCUCAGGAAGCUCCCCUGUUUGGAGGAAUCGGACGGUAUGUUGCGCCCGUGCCGGAGCCCGGGGCUCGACGGCAAGGACCAAAGGCAUCUUUUCCGCCAUGGGAGCGGUUGUCCCUACGGCCAGGGCAUGACGCCCUGCCGGAGCCAGUUGCUCUUGGGCAGCUCAGUGUGGACGGCAACAUCCUUGCCGGCCGUCCGAGGGGGCUCGGUGGGAAAGUACUUGCCGGGACCUGAUUUCCUUCGCUUGUUCUGCCCCAUUGAGGGUUCGACGGAUGGCUGAGUUAACCGGAGCAAAAAGGUACCUGGUUCCAUAGGUAGCUUGAAUGCCGCACGCUUUGAUAGGUAAUCAGCGAUGUCGUUCUCCAUUUGGGGGACAUGCUCCCCUUGGAUACCGUCAAAGCGCUCCUCCAGCUUCCUCACCUCAUCUACGUACGCCUCCAUCAAUGGGCUCUGGUAAUCCUUGUUGACCUCUCUAACAACAAGCUGCGAGUCACCCCUGACGAUGAGCUUCUUAACCCCGAGGUCUGCCGCGAUCCUGAGACCAGCAAGCAGCCCCUCGUACUCCGCGGUGUUGUUGGUGGACAUCUCCUUGGGAAAGUGCAUCUGGACCACGUACUUCAGGUGCUCUCCCGUGGGUGCGACGAGCAACACGCCAGCACCGGCGCCUUGCAGCGUCAAAGCCCCAUCAAAGUACAUGAUCCAGUCGCGGUCUGCUUCCUUGCCUGGGAGAGCGGUUUCCUGGAUUUCUUCGUCGGGCGUUGAGGUCCAUUCUGCAAUGAACUCCGCCGAGACUUUGCUCUGGAUUGUCGAGGUACUUUCAAACUUCAAACCAAAACUUGACAACUCCAAGGCCCAUUCCACAAUCCUUCCGGUUGCAUCUGGGUUAUGCAUCUGUUGCAAUGGGAGGCGGGUGACGACAGUGAUCUCUUGGGCUUGGAAGUAAUGACGCAGCUUCCUCGAGGCCAUCAGGAGGCCGAAGAGCAAUUUUUGCACACCGGAGUACCUCGACCUAGCCCCCUGCAAGAGGGAGCUGACAAAGUAAACUAGGUGCUGCAUCAUCUUCUUCUACACCACCUCACCCGACUGCGCAGGCACUGCCUUGGUGGUGUCAGACCCUGCCGGGGGCCUUGCCUUGCUGGCACCAGGCCCUGUCGGGGGGAUCUUUGGCUUGCCAUCCGCUGGUUCUGCCAUCGCCACUGCCUCCUCGUCGACCUCCCUCUGCGCCACCAGUGCGGCGCUGACCACUUGAUUCGUCGCCGCUAGAUACAGCAGCAACGGCUCUUGUGGUUUAGGCGCAACCAGUAUUGGCGUGGAGGAAAGGUAUUUCUUCAUAUCCUGCAACGCCGCCUCGGCCUCUGGGGUCCACUCCAUUGGGCCCGCCUUCUUCAAGAUUUUGAAGAAGGUAAGGGCACACUCGGCGGACUUGGAGAUGAAUCGGCUCAUGGCGGCGACGCAGCCAGUGAGCCGACGCACAUCUUUGAUCCACUUGGGCGCCUCAAUCUGCUCAAUAGCUUCGAUUUUGUCUGGGUUUGCCUCGAUCCCGCACUGCGACACAAAGAAUCCGAGAAGCUUGCCGGAUGGAACGCCGAAGACACACUUCUCAGGGUUCAGCUUAAGGUUGAUCUUGCGCAGGUUGGCAAAUGUCUCUUCCAGAUCUUGCACAAGAGUUGCCCCGUCCUUGGUUUUGACAACUAUGUCAUCCAUGUAUGCCUCCAUAUUUCUAUGGAUCUGGGUUCAAAACCAAUCUGGACUGCUCUUGCAAAUGUCGGGCCAGCACUCUUCAACCCAAAAGGCAUCCGUAAAAAGCAAUACGUACCACAUGGGGUGAUGAAUGCUAUCUUCUCUUCAUCCUCUCUUGUCAUGAAGAUUUGGUGGUAGCCCGAGUAGGCGUCGAGGAAUGAUAACAGAUCACACCCGGCCAUGGAGUCAAUAAUCUGGUCGAUGCGCGGCAACAGGAAGGGGUCCUUAGGAUUAGCCUUAUUGAUAUCUGUGUAAUCAAUACACAACCUCCACUUCCCAUUCGCCUUGCGCACCACUACCGGAUUGGCAAACCACAUCGGGUGGAGCACUCCUCUCACCAAAGCUGCCGCUUCCAACUUCCUGAUCUCCUCUGUGAUGAACUCCUGCCUCUCGAGAGCCCGCUUUCUGACCUUCUGCUUGACGGGCCACGCAUGAGGGCAGACAGCUAGGUGGUGCUCAAUCAACUCCCUGGGAACACCGGGGAUGUCGGAUGCUUGCCACGCAAACACGUCGACAUUUGCCCGCAGGAAGGUGACGAGCGCGCCUUCCUAUUUGCUGUCGAGGGUGGAGCCUAUGGUCAAGGCCCUGUUGGAAAUAUGCCCUAGAGGCAAUAAUAAAAAUGGUUAUUAUUAUAUUUCCUUGUUCAUGAUAAUUGUCUAUUGUUCAUGCUAUAAUUGUGUUAUCCGGAAAUCGUAAUACAUGUGUGAACACAUAGACCAUAACAUGUCCCUAGUGAGCCUCUAGUUGACUAGCUCGUUGAUCAAUAGAUGGUUACGGUUUCCUGACCAUGGACAUUGGAUGUCAUUGAUAAUGGGAUCACAUCAUUAGGAGAAUGAUGUGAUGGACAAGACCCAAUCCUAAGCAUAGCACUAGAUCGUGUAGUUCGUUUGCUGAGGCUUUUCUAAUGUCAAGUAUCAUUUCCUUAGACCAUGAGAUCGUGCAACUCCCGGAUACCGUAGGAAUGCUUUGGGUGUGCCAAACGUCACAACGUAACUGGGUGGCUAUAAAGGUGCACUACAGGUAUCUCCGAAAGUGUCUGUUGGGUUGGCUCGGAUCGAUACUGGGAUUUGUCACUCCGUAUGACGGAGAGGUAUCUCUGGGCCCACUCGGUAUUGCAUCAUCAUAAUGAGCUCAAUGUGACUAAGUAGUUAGUCACGGGAUCAUGCAUUAUGGAACGAGUAAAGUGACUUGCCGGUAACGAGAUUGAACGAGGUAUUGGGAUACCGACGAUCGAAUCUCGGGCAAGUAACGUACCGAUUGACAAAGGGAAUUGUAUACGGGAUUACUUGAAUCCUCGACAUCGUGGUUCAUCCGAUGAGAUCAUCGAGGAGCAUGUGGGAGCCAACAUGGGUAUCCAGAUCCCGUUGUUGGUUAUUGACCGGAGAGUCGUCUCAGUCAUGUCUGCGUGUCUCCCGAACCUGUAGGGUCUACACACUUAAGGUUCGGUAACGCUAGGGUUGUAGAGAUAUUAGUAUGCGGUAAGCCGAAAGUUGUUCGGAGUCCCGGAUGAGAUCCCGGACAUCACGAGGAGUUCCGGAAUGGUCCGGAGGUCAAGAUUUGUAUAUAGGAAGUCCAGUUUCGGCCACCGGGAAAGUUUCGGGGUCACCGGUAUUGUACCGGGACCACCGGAAGGGUCCCGGGGGUCCACCGGGUGGGGCCACCUAUCUCAGAGCACCCCAUAGGCUGAAGUGGGAAGGGAACCAGCCCCUGGUGGGCUGGUGCGCCCCCCAUGGGCCUCCCCCUGCGCCUAGGCUUGGAAACCCUGGGGGUGGGGGGCGCCCCACCUGACUUGGGGGGCAAGUCCCCCCUUGGCCGCCGCCCCCCUUGAGAUGGGAUCUCCAGGGGCCGGCGCCCCCCCCCAGGGCCCCUAUAUAAAGGGGGGAGGGAGGGCUGCGCACCUAAGCCCCUGGCGCCUCCCUCUUUCCCCGUAACACCUCUCCCUCUCGCUGAGCUUGGCGAAGCCCUGCCGAGAUCCCCGCUGCUUCCACCACAACCUCUCCUUUCCCCUUGCUGGAUCAAGACGAGUACGACUCCAUCAACCCCGUUCUCUUGAACGUUUCUGCUCGCGAUCUACAAGGGUAUGUAGAUGCACUCAUCUCUCUCGUUGCUAGAUGACUCCAUAGAUUGAUCUUGGUGAUGCGUAGAAAAUUUUAAAUUUAUGCUACGAUCCCCAACAGUGGCAUCAUGAGCUAGGUCUAUGCGUAGUUUCUAUGCACGAGUAGAACACAAGUUGUUGUGGGCGUUGAUUUUGUCAAUUUACUUGCCGUUACUAGUCUUAUCUUGAUUCGGCGGCAUCGUGGGAUGAAGCAGCCCGGACCGACCUUACACGUACACUUACGUGAGACAGGUUCCACCGACUGACAUGCACUAGUUGCAUAAGGUGGCUAGCGGGUGUCUGUCUCUCCCACUUUAGUCGGAUCGGAUUCGAUGAAAAGGGUCCUUAUGAAGGGUAAAUAGAAAUUGGCAUAUCACGUUGUGGUUUUGGCGUAGGUAAGAAUCGUUCUUGCUAGAAACCUAUAGCAGCCACGUAAAAGUUUGCAACAACAAUUAGAGGACGUCUAACUUGUUUUUGCAGCAAGUGUCAUGUGAUGUGAUAUGGCCAGAAGGAUGUGAUGAAUGAUAUAUGUGAUGUAUGAGAUUGAUCAUGUUCUUGUAAUAGGAAUCACGACUUGCAUGUCGAUGAGUAUGACAACCAGCAGGAGCCUAGGAGUUGUCUUAAUUUAUUUAUGACCUGUGUGUCAACUGAAACGUCAUGUAAUUACUUUACUUUAUUGCUAACGGUUAGCCAUAGUAGUAGAAGUAAUAAUUGGCGAGACAACUUCAUGAAGACACGAUGAUGGAGAUCAUGAUGAUGGAGAUCAAGGUGUCAUGCCAGUGACGAUGAUGAACAUGACGCCCCGAAGAUGGAGAUCAAAAGGAGCAAAAUGAUAUUGGCCAUAUCAUGUCACUAUUUGAUUGCAUGUGAUAUUUAUCAUGUUUUACAUCUUAUUUGCUUAGAACGACGGUAGCAUAAAUAAGAUGAUCCCUCGCUAAAAUUUCAAGAAAGUGUUCCCCCUAAUUGUGCAUCGUUGCGAAGGUUCGUUGUUCCGAAGCACCACGUGAUGAUCGAGUGUGAUGGGUUCUAACGUUCGCAUACAACGGGUGUAAGCCAGAUUUACACACGCAAUACACUUAGGUUGACUUGACGAGCCUAGCAUGUACAGACAUGGCCUCGGAACACAAGAGACCGAAAGGUCGAACAUGAGUCGUAUAGCAGAUACGAUCAACAUGAAGAUGUUCACCGAUGAUGACUAGUCCGUCUCACGUGAUGAUCGGACACGGCCUAGUUGACUCGGAUCAUGUAACACUUAGAUGACUAGAGGGAUGUCUGUCUGAGUGGGAGUUCGUUAAUAAUUUGAUUAGAUGAACUUUAUUAUCAUGAACUUAGUCUAAAAAUCUUUACAAUAUGUCUUGUAGAUCAAAUGGCCCACGCUAAUGUUGCCCUCAACUUCAACGCGUUCCUAGAGAAAACCAAGCUGAAAGACGAUGGUAGCAACUACACGGACUGGGUCCGUAACCUGAGGAUUAUCCUCGUAGCUGCCAAGAAAGCAUAUUUCCUUGAAGCACCGCUAGGUGAUGCACCUAUUUUCCCAGCAACUCAAGACGUUCUGAACGCCUGGCAGUCGCAUAGUGAUGAUUACUCCCUGGUUCAGUGCGGCAUGCUUUACAGCUUAGAACCGGGGCUCCAAAAGCGUUUUGAGCAGCACGGAGCAUAUGAGAUGUUCCAAGAGCUGAAAAUGGUUUUCCAAGCUCAUGCCCGGGUCGAGAGAUAUGAAGUCUCCGACAAGUUCUACAGUUGUAAGAUGGAGGAGAAUAGUUCCGUCAGCGAACACAUACUCAAAAUGUCUGGGUUGCACAAUCGCUUGUCUCAGCUGGGAGUUAAUCUCCCGGAUGACGCGGUCGUUGACAGAAUCCUUCAGUCGCUCCCACCUAACUACAAGAGCUUUGUGAUGAACUUCAAUAUGCAGGGGAUGGAAAAGACCAUUCCUGAGGUAUAUUCAAUGCUGAAAUCAGCGGAGGUGGAGAUCAAAAAGGAACAUCAAGUGUUGAUGGUGAAUAAAACCACUAAGUUCAAGAAAGGCAAGGGUAAGAAGAACUUCAAGAAAGACGGCAAGGGAGUUGCCGUGCCCGGUAAGCAAGCUGCCGGGAAGAAGACAAAUAAUGGACCUAAGCCUAAGACUGAGUGCUUUUAUUGCAAGGGAAACGGUCACUGGAAGCAGAACUGCCCCAAAUACUUAGCGGAUAAGAAGGCCGGCAAUACCAAAGGUAUAUGUGAUAUACAUGUUAUUGAUGUGUACCUAACCAGCGCUCGUAGUAGCUCCUGGGUAUUUGAUACCGGUGCGGUUGCUCAUAUUUGUAACUCAAAGCAGGAGCUGCGGAAUAAGCGGAGACUGGCGAAGGACGAGGUGACGAUGCGCGUCGGGAAUGGUUCCAAGGUCGAUGUGAUCGCCGUCGGCACGCUACCUCUACAUUUACCUACGGGAUUAGUUUUAAAACUCAAUAAUUGUUAUUUAGUGCCAGCUUUGAGCAUGAACAUUGUAUCUGGAUCUCGUUUAAUGCGAGAUGGCUACUCAUUUAAAUCCGAGAAUAAUGGUUGUUCUAUUUAUAUGAGAGAUAUGUUUUAUGGUCAUGCCCCGUUGGUCAAUGGUUUAUUCUUAAUGAAUCUCGAACGUGACGUUACACAUAUUCAUAGUGUGAAUGCCAAGAAAUGUAAGGUUGAUAAUGAUAGUCCCACAUACUUGUGGCACUGCCGCCUUGGUCACAUUGGUGUCAAACGCAUGAAGAAACUCCAUGCAGAUGGACUUUUGGAGUCUCUUGAUUAUGAAUCAUUUGACACGUGCGAACCAUGCCUCAUGGGCAAAAUGACCAAGACUCCAUUCUCCGGAACAAUGGAGCGAGCAACCAACUUAUUGGAAAUCAUACAUACUGAUGUGUGCAGUCCAAUGAGCGUUGAGGCUCGCGGUGGCUAUCGUUAUGUUCUCACCCUCACUGAUGACUUGAGUAGAUAUGGGUAUGUCUACUUAAUGAAACACAGGUCUGAGAUCUUUGAAAAGUUCAAGGAAUUUCAGAGUGAGGUUGAGAAUCAACAUGACAAGAAAAUAAAGUUCUUACGAUCAGAUCGUGGAGGGGAAUAUUUGAGUCACGAAUUUGGCACACACUUAAGGAAAUGUGGAAUUGUUUCACAACUCACGCCGCCUGGAACACCUCAGCGUAAUGGUGUGUCCGAACGUCGUAAUCGCACUCUAUUGGAUAUGGUGCGAUCUAUGAUGUCUCUUACCGAUCUACCGUUACCAUUCUGGGGUUAUGCUUUAGAGACUGCCGCAUUCACUUUAAAUAGGGCGCCGUCGAAAUCCGUUGAGAUGACACCGUAUGAAUUAUGGUUUGGAAAGAAACCUAAGCUGUCGUUUCUUAAAGUUUGGGGAUGCGAUGCUUAUGUCAAGAAACUUCAACCUGAAAAGCUCGAACCCAUGUCGGAAAAAUGCGUCUGCAUAGGAUACCCUAAGGAAACCAUUGGGUAUACCUUCUACCUCAGAUCCGAAGGCAAGAUCUUCGUUGCCAAGAACGGGUCCUUUCUGGAGAAAGAGUUUCUCUCGAAAGAAGUAAGUGGGAAGAAAGUGGAACUUGAUGAGAUGACCCCUCUAUAACCGGAAAGUAGCACAGCACAAGAAAAUGUUUCUGUGGUGCCUGCACCGACUAGAGAGGAAGUUAAUGAUGACGAUCAUGAUCAAGUUACCACUGAACUUCCUAGGUCCACAAGGACACGUUCCGCACCAGAGUGGUACGGCAACCCUGUCUUGGAAAUCAUGUUGUUGGACAACGGUGAACCUUCGAACUAUGAAGAAGCAAUGGCGGGUCCAGAUUCCAACAAAUGGCUUGAAGCCAUGCAAUCUGAGAUAGGAUCCAUGUAUGAAAACAAAGUGUGGACUUUGACAGACUUGCCCGAUGAUCGGCGAGCGAUAGAAAAUAAAUGGAUCUUUAAGAAGAAGACGGACGCGGAUGGAAAUGUUACCAUCUAUAAAGCUCGACUUGUCACUAAGGGUUAUCGACAAGUUCAAGGAGUUGACUACGAUGAGACCUUCUCACCCGUAGCGAAGCUGAAGUCCGUCCGAAUCAUGUUAGCAAUUGCCGCAUUCUACGAUUAUGAAAUAUGGCAAAUGGACGUCAAAACGGCAUUCCUUAACGGCUUCCUUAAGGAAGAAUUGUAUAUGAUGCAGCCGGAAGGUUUUGUCGAUCCUAAGAAUGCUGACAAAGUAUGCAAGCUCCAGCGCUCAAUCUAUGGGUUGGUGCAGGCAUCUCGGAGUUGGAACAUUCGCUUUGAUGAGAUGAUCAAAGCGUUUGGGUUUACACAGACUUAUGGAGAAGCCUGUGUUUACAAGAAAGUGAGUGGGAGCUCUGUAGCAUUUCUAAUAUUAUAUGUGGAUGACAUACUAUUGAUGGGAAAUGAUAUAGAAUUCUUGGAAAGUAUAAAGGCCUACUUGAAUAAGUGUUUUUCAAUGAAGGACCUUGGAGAAGCUGCUUACAUAUUAGGCAUCAAGAUCUAUAGAGAUAGAUCGAGACGCCUCAUAGGUCUUUCACAAAGCACAUACCUUGACAAGAUAUUGAAGAAGUUCAAUAUGGAUCAGUCCAAGAAGGGGUUCUUGCCUGUAUUGCAAGGUGUGAGAUUGAGCACGGCUCAGUCCAAGAAGGGGUUCUUGCUUGUAUUGCAAGGUAUGCCAUGCUGUGUACCAGACCUGAUGUAAACCUUGCCGUGAGUUUGGUAGGAAGGUACCAAAGUAAUCCCGGCAUGGAACACUGGACAGCGGUCAAGAACAUCCUGAAGUACCUGAAAAGGACUAAGGAUAUGUUUCUCGUUUAUGGAGGUGACGAAGAGCUCGUCGUAAAGGGUUACGUCAAUGCUAGCUUCAACACAGAUCUGGAUGACUCUAAGUCACAAACCGGAUACGUGUAUAUUUUGAAUGGUGGGGCAGUCAGCUGGUGCAGUUGCAAGCAAAGGGUCGUGGCGGGAUCUACAUGUGAAGCGGAGUACAUGGCAGCCUCGGAGGCAACACAUGAUGCAAUCUGGAUGAAGGAGUUCAUUGCCGACCUAGGAGUUAUUCCCAAUGCAUCGGGGCCGAUGACUCUCUUCUGUGACAACACUGGAGCUAUUGCCCUUGCCAAGGAGCCCAGGUUUCACAAGAAGACCAGGCACAUCAAGCGUCGCUUCAACUCCAUUCGUGAAAAUGUUCAAAAUGGAGACAUAGAUAUUUGCAAAGUACAUACGGAUUUGAAUGUCGCAGAUCCGUUGACUAAACCUCUUCCACGGGCAAAACAUGAUCAACACCAGAACACUAUGUGUGUACGAUUCAUCACAAUGUAACUAGAUUAUUGACUCUAGUGCAAGUGGGAGACUGUUGGAAAUAUGCCCUAGAGGCAAUAAUAAAAAUGGUUAUUAUUAUAUUUCCUUGUUCAUGAUAAUUGUCUAUUGUUCAUGCUAUAAUUGUGUUAUCCGGAAAUGGUAAUACAUGUGUGAACACAUAGACCAUAACAUGUCCCUAGUGAGCCUCUAGUUGACUAGCUCGUUGAUCAAUAGAUGGUUACGGUUUCCUGACCAUGGACAUUGGAUGUCAUUGAUAACGGGGUCACAUCAUUAGGAGAAUGAUGUGAUGGACAAGACCCAAUCCUAAGCAUAGCACUAGAUCGUGUAGUUCGUUUGCUGAGGCUUUUCUAAUGUCAAGUAUCAUUUCCUUAGACCAUGAGAUCAUGCAACUCCCGGAUACCGUAGGAAUGCUUUGGGUGUGCCAAACGUCACAACGUAACUGGGUGGCUAUAAAGGUGCACUACAGGUACCUCCGAAAGUGUCUGUUGGGUUGGCUCGGAUCGAGACUGGGAUUGGUCACUCCGUAUGACGGAGAGAUAUCUCUGGGCCCACUCGGUAUUGCAUCAUCAUAAUGAGCUCAAUGUGACUAAGUAGUUAGUCACAGGAUCAUGCAUUACGGAACGAGUAAAGUGACUUGCUGGUAACGAGAUUGAACGAGGUAUUGGGAUACCGACGAUCGAAUCUCGAGCAAGUAACGUACCGAUUGACAAAGGGAAUUGUAUACGGGAUUACUUGAAUCCUCGACAUCGUGGUUCAUCCGAUGAGAUCAUCGAGGAGCAUGUGGGAGCCAACAUGGGUAUCCAGAUCCCGUUGUUGGUUAUUGACCGGAGAGUCGUCUCAGUCAUGUCUGCGUGUCUCCCGAACCUGUAGGGUCUACACACUUAAGGUUCAGUAACGCUAGGGUUGUAGAGAUAUUAGUAUGCGGUAACCCGAAAGUUGUUCGGAGUCCCGGAUGAGAUCCCGGACAUCACGAGGAGUUCCGGAAUGGUCCGGAGGUGAAGAUUUAUAUAUAGGAAGUCCAGUUUCGGCCACCGAGAAAGUUUCGGGGUCACCGGUAUUGUACCGGGACCACCGGAAGGGUCCCGGGGGUCCACCGGGUGGGGCCACCUAUCUCGAAGGGCCCCAUGGGCUGAAGUGGGAAGGGAACCAGCCCCUGGUGGGCUGGUGCGCCCCCCCAUGGGCCUCCCCCUGCGCCUUGAGUUGGAAACCCUGGGGGUGGGGGCGCCCCACCUGACUUGGGGGGCAAGUCCCCCCUUGGCCGCCGCCCCCCUUGAGAUGGGAUCUCCAGGGGCCGGCGCCCCCCCAGGGCCCCUAUAUAAAGGGGGGAGGGAGGGCUGCGCACCUAAGCCCCUGGCACCUCCCUCUUUCCCCGUAACACCUCUCCCUCUCGCUGAGCUUGGCGAAGCCCUGCGGAGAUCCCCGCUGCUUCCGCCAUCACGCCGUCGUGCUGCUGGAUCUCCAUCAACCUCUCCUUUCCCCUUGCUGGAUCAAGAAGGAGGAGACAUCUCUCCCAACCGUACGUGUGUUGAACGCGGAGGUGCCGUCCGUUCGGCGCUAGGAUCAUCGGUGAUUUGGAUCACGACGAGUACGACUCCAUCAACCCCGUUCUCUUGAACGUUUCCGCUCGCGAUCUACAAGGGUAUGUAGAUGCACUCAUCUCUCUCGUUGCUAGAUGACUCCAUAGAUUGAUCUUGGUGAUGCGUAGAAAAUUUUAAAUUUCUGCUACGAUCCCCAACAGGCCCCUCCCGUGCCGUCCUCCGUGGCGGACACCUUCUUGGUCUGCGGUGGCUCGGCUCUGGAUUUCUUGCUCUUGUCGGUAGAGCUCUCUGGCACGUCCUCGACGGCAGCGCAGCACUCCAAAGAGGUGUGCUUGCCGGAGUGGGUGCGAGAGGUCUUGCCGGGCUUCUUCUUCCCUCCCGGGCCUUCAGCGGUAGGAGCAGGUGCCUUGACGGCAGCUGCUGCAAUUGCUUCCCGGUAGAGUUGGUCGGCGCAAAUCAGCACGUCCUUCUUGUCGGAGGGGACGGACAUGAUGGUCAACGGCCCGGGCAUCUUUAGCAUGUUGUCGGCGUAAUGUGACGCCGCCAUGAACUUGGCUAGUGCCGGGCGGCCAAGGAUCCCGUUGUAGGGCAAGGGGAUCUCGGCCACGUCGAAGAUGAUCCUCUCCGUCCUGUAGUUCAACUCCCCUCCAAACGUCACGGGCAGUGUGACCUUCCCCUUCGGCUAGCUCCUCCCCAGAUUGACCCAUUGAACCGUGCACGUUUCCUCGAGGUCUCCAUCAGGAAUUUGCAGAAUUUUGAUCACGACGGGCAAGAUCAAAUUCAGGCCGGCCCCGCCGUGAACCAACAUCUUGUUCAACUUGAGGUUGCGUAUCAUUGGUGAGACCAACAAUGGCAAACACCCGACCGCGGUUGUGCGGUCAGGGUGGUCCUCGGCGUCAAAGAUGAGGGGCGUGCUGGACCACUUCAGCAGAUCUGAGCGUCGAACGACGGCUCAGCUGUUGUAAUCUCACACGCCCACUGCUUGACCUGGCGGUGAGAAGUAUGCAGCGAGGCGCCACCAUCGAAGCACAUGGCCUCCGUAGCCUUCUAGAACUCUUGCUCACAGGACUCAUUGUCCUCGUCGUGAUCAUCGUCUUCUUGUUUCUUGUCAUGGCUCCGGGCGGGCCUCUCUUGCUGGUUGUCCUUGCCGGGGGGGCUUCCUUGGCCGCCACGCUUCUUGCCGGAUCCCUGGGCAUCGUCCUGACCCUUCUCCUUGUCCCGCCUUUCAUACUCGGCCUUUUGCUUUUCAGCAAGCAGCUCGACUUGUCGGCAGUUCUGGAGGUCGUGGCCCUUGGUGCGGUGGAUCUUGCAGUACUGCUUGCCGGAGCCCCCUGGCUUAUCGGCAACUGCUAAGGCCCGGCAGGCGGCGCACCCGGCCAUCUCCUUGUCGGGGCCGUCUGCCUUGACCUUCUUGGCAGCGCCGGUGUCGUCAGAACCCUCGACGGCAAGUACGGCCUUGCCCUUGCGUUUCUUGUUGCGACGCCGGCCCUUCUUUGUCGGGGUGGCGGCGUCUUCGUCGGUAGAGUCGGUUUCCGCACUGGCAUCUUUGCCGGGGUACUUCCUUCCCUCUUCAGCCUGGGCGCAUCUAUCGGCCAGAACGUAGAGCUCGGCCACAUCCUUAACAUUGGUCAUCGCCAGCACUUCGCGCAUCUUGCAGCUGCGCAUGUUCUGAUGGAACGCGCUGAUCACAUCGGCGGGAUGAACGUCGGGGAUGUUGUACUGCACCCGGCUGAAUCUCUAGAUGUUCUUGCGUAGGGGUUCCCCUUCCUUCUGGGGAAUGAUAUGUAGAUCACUGGCCUGGCCAUGAGCUUGGUGGCCUCCCAUGAAGGUGCCAAUGAACUCAUGGCACAGAUCCGACCAAGAAGAAAUGGAGUCCGCCGGCAAGUGCAUCAACCAAGACAUAACAUUGGGCUUCAGCGCCAGCGGGAAAUAAUUGGCAAGCACCUUGUCAUCGCAAGCUCCAGCAGCCUACAUCGCGAUGGUGUAGAUGCUGAGGAACUUGGACGGAUGGGUCUUGCCAGUGUACUUCUCGCCGACGUCGGGCUUGAACUUGCGGUGGGACAGCCACUGGAACUGCCGCAGCUCGCGGGUAAAGGCCGGGCAGCCCACCUUGUAAGGUAGGCCGCCGGAGCCCCCCGGUGCUGGGUGGUCCAUAGCGGGUCCCGCCCGCUUGUCCGACUGGUGGCGUGUAUUGCGCCGGCGCUCGAUAGUGGUUCGAGCAUCUUCGUGAGCUCGUUCUCGAAGAACUUGGCGCUGGUCGUGAUGGGUCCGCGGGUCGGACGAUGUUAUCACAAGCGUCGUCACGAUGGGCCGACACCCGCGGCGGCUGGCGAGGAGGAGGAGAGUGCACCGUGGCCGCAGCACCCCCGGCCCUCCCAGCGCUGGCAUGUGGUGGCUCGGUGGAGCGCCGGCCCGAGGGCCCCACUGGUCGCGGAUCGUCUUUGUUGGCGAUGGCGACGAGGCUCCGGAUGGUGGCUCUCCACUCGUUGAGCUUCUCCGCAGCAGGAGGGAAGUCGAGGAGUAGCUGCGCGCGUGCCAAAGAUUCUGCUGGCGUGGGUGGCGGCGACAGCUUUGUGGACCGUGGCGCGCUUCGACUUCUAACCAAGUUAGAAGGAGCUCCACCACGACCCAGGGGCUGCGCGACAUUUUCGCCAGCACUUCGGCGGGCAUGCUAAACUCCUUCGUCCUGUGGACGACGCACAGGGCUCUUCCCACGGCGGUGCCCAGGGUCACCAGCGUGGUGACGCUGCUCGUCGCACACACCAUGGGAAGAGCGCAGUGGUCGCCGGCAUGGGCGUCUUGGAGGUUGUUGCGCCGCCCGUGGGUGGCACAACGACACUCCUGGAGGGCCCCGCGCUGCCUAUGGGGGGCCCAGCCCCAUCUUUAGACUUGGUGAUGUGCGGCCCGUCCCCUGGCGCGCGAACGGCGCUACUCGCUAGGCUCUGACUGCUAGGCGAUGCUGGUGCUCGCGGACCGCGGCUCGGGUUCUGUCCGCGACCGGUCCGCUGCUCGCCCAUACUGGCAUGGGCCGCUCGGCCCCCGACGAGCCGAUCGCCGUGGCCGUCUUCUUCUUGGGAUCCAUGGCGAUGAAGAAACGCUAGGCUAGCUACUAGAACAGAUUCUCGCAAUUGCGCCCCCCUACCUGGCGCGCCAAAGAUGUCGGUGUGGAACGACACCUAUGGGAUCACAAGAAUCCCUACUACGGUUGUCGGGGCACAGGGUUGCGAGAAGAGCAGGAUUAGUAGCCAGGACAAGGAUCGUUUACCCAGGUUCGGGCCGUGAAGAUGCGUAAAACCCUAGUCCUGCUUUGGUGGGUGUAUUUCAGAGAGUUCUUGAGCUCUCAAACUAGCUAUGGUGGGGUGCGUGGUUCCAAAGAGCCGAAUCCUCCUCCAGUAUGCCAUGGGCCUCCUUUUAUAGUCGAAAGGGGCUGCCACAGUGGCAUACAGGAGGUGGAAGGGCGUACAGUAUUGCGAGCUUAUCGCUCGUAUUACAGGACAAGACGCAUUUAAUGCACCGCUGAGGUGUCCCCUAGCUUUAUCGGGGACGGGGGCGAGGCCCGUCCCGUCCGCCGCCGCUCCUCCUCGCUUCGACACGCGCCCUGGCCAGCGAUGCGUGCGGCGCCAUGUAGGCAGGCAGGCAGCUGAGGUGGCGUGGUGGUGGAGCCUUCGCGAAGAUCCGCAUGCCGCCACGCAGGCGCUUGAUGAGUUGGCCUGGGAGCUGCAUGUUGCCACGCAGGUGCCUGCUCAGUUGGUUGAGCUGGCAGCUGCAUGCGAACGGCGGCGGAGACUUGGUUGGUGCGGGCCUGGCAGUGGCCCUGCUGGUGCCCUUGGCGAGGGCCUUGCCAGGUUGCCCGGCAAGGUCUUGUCGUGGCGCGCUGUCGUCCCCAGCAAGGAUCUUGCCGGGGGUCUUGUGGCCUUCCUCGGCAAGGAUCUUGCCGAGGGCUGUUUGUCUUUUAAUCCUCAUCUGAUCUUGAACCUUGGUCUUGACAAAGAUCUGCAUGCCACCAUGGAGGUGCCUCCCGAGCCCUAGUUCCAACGUGGUUGGCUGAGUUGGAACCCGUGGGCUCGAGGGUGGCUCACUCCGCUGGUGUGGGCGAGCCGCCCCGGCAAGGGUCUUGCCGGGGGAACCUGCUUCGUCCCUCUGCUCUUUGUGGUCUUGGUGUUGGUGUUGCUCUGGCUUGCCCCGGGCUUCGGUUUUACCUCGAUUCACCUCCCCUGCUCUGCUUGGUGUGGCCGUGGGCGCGGCUCUGACUGUCCAUGCACAGGUAAAGGGGUACAAAGGUGCGCCCCUUCUUUUGUACACCGACAGUACUUCUGGCAAUCCGACACCAAAUGAACUGCUCCACGUCCACCGCUUGUGAGCAAAAGUUUCUCCUCGUGCUGCGAGCCAUCGCGCACGCGUUGGCGAGGGAGCUCGCCAUUCCGCGAGUUGACAGGGCACAUCAAAGUUAUUUAGUACUCUCUCCAAAAAGGGCCAACCAUGUCCAUGGCUACCAUCCCGUGCUCCGUCAUUGAGUACGUGCACUAUUCACAUGCCAUCGAGGAGAAAAAAUAUUGCAUCGUACUAGGUGCCAUCGAAGUGCACGAUUCACUUACGCACUGCUUAUCUCCAUUUUCUUGCAUGACACGUGCACCUUGAUUUUAGAUGUCCCGCGUGUUGGCAAAAGGAUGAACAAAGCUCGCGUAAAAAAGAGAGUGGAAGAACAUAGGGCAUGUUUGGUUCCCAGCCUAGGGUUGCCACGUCUAACCUUAGUCAUGCCACAACAUCUUAGACAUGGGUUUGGUUCAUUGCCACACUUGUGGCUUGCCACACUUCUCUAGUUAUAUGGUCCACAUGUCAUAGGCUCAAUUUUUUUGCCAAAUCUUGCCACAUUUGUGGUGGCCAUAGCCACACUUUUUGUGGCAGCCACACUUUGCCUAAGAUUAGUUAUGGCAAAGGGGCUGUUUGGUUCCAGGCCUAGCAUUGCACACUUUGCCACACAUUUUUGCCAAGCUUGCCAAAGGUUAAUUCAUCAAAAUGAGAGCCAUAAGUUGGCAAGCCUAAGGGAAUCUUGCCUUAUUUUUUGUGUGUAUGCCAUGUGGGGUCCAAGUGUGGCUUGACUAAGGUGUGGCUUGAACCAAACACUCACCUCAUUGAUUCUACGUGGUGUGUCUAUGAACCAAACAUCCUCAUAGAUUCCUGACGAGCGAGAAGGAGCAAAGAACCCCGCGGUAGAGCGUCUGUACUCACAAUAUUUUAUAUUACUCCCUCCGUCCAAGUGAAUAAGUCAUCUUUGGUUGUGCACUGUGACCAAGGAGAGAAAAACAAGAGAACUUAAUGUUUAUUUUCUAAUUAAUAGCAUUGCAUGCAAUGAACUAACCACUUCAUGUCGUGUUUGGUAGUCUCGAGUCAUUGAAAACAUGCACGCCCACAUCUCUUAUUGGUUGAUAUAUCAAGAAACAAGAAACGAGGUGGGAGUUAAUGCACCGCGCCUAAGUGUUUUGGGAUUAUUUGGUUUUCGUAAAGUAACUUAUACACCUAGAUGGAGGGAGUACCUUGUGAUAACCCACAAGUAUAGGGGAUCUUUUGUAACCUUCUUCGAUAAAUAAGAGUGUCGAACCCAACGAGGAGCUAAAGGCAGAACAAAUAUUCCCUCAAGUUCUAUCGACCACCGAUACAACUCUACGCACACUUGAUGUUUGCUUUACCGGAAACAAGUAUAAAAAUAUUAUGGAAGGAUAAAACUAUAAGUACUUUGUGAGAAUAGAACUAUGAAUAAAUUGCAAGGUAAUAAAAGUGGAUAGCUUUUGUCAACAAGAAAGUUAUUUGUCGCUAGGCAAUCGAUAACAAGUACCGGUAAUCAUUCUUGUAAUUUUAUAUGAGGGAGAGGCAUGAGCUAACAUACUUUCUCUACUUGGAUCAUAUGCACUUAUGAUUGGAACUCUAGCAAGCAUCCGCAACUACUAAAGAUCAUUAAGGCCGUGAAACCCAACCAUAGCAUUAAGUAUCAAGUCCUCUUUACUCCCAUACGCCAUAACCCACCUAUCCACGUUUAAGUUUCUUUCACUCCCGCAACACUGACAAUAAGCAAAUCAUGAACAUAUUGCAACACCCUAUAGCGGGGGCCCCUCAUGUUUGCAUGAGACGGAGGGCACCGUAGGACAACACCAUAAAUAAAAUAUACAAUCAUACCAACCAAGAUCACGAUUAACCCACAGGACAAAACGGAUCUACUCAAAAACCAUAGGAUAACCAUCUAUCAUUGGGAAAUAAUAUAUGGAGUUGAGCACCAUGUUUAAGUAGAGAUUACAGCGGGGGGAAGAGGUGUUACACCGCUGCAUAGAGGGGGAGAAAGUUGGUGUUGACGGUAGCAAGAUUGUUGAUGUAGAUCGCCGUCACGAUCCUAGCCCCGACGGCACUCUGGCGCCACUGGGAGAGAGGGGGAGAGAGCCCCCUCCUUCUUCUUCUUCCUUGGCCUCCCCCUAGAUGGGAGGAGGGUUCCCCCUCUGGUCCAUGGUCUCCAUGGCGGCGGAGGGGCGGGAGCCCCUCCGAGAUCGGAUGUAACAUCCCAAUUUUCAAUUCGGAUGUUAUACAUAGGUCAUCGUAUGCAUAUCAUAUUUUAUUUGCAUUAUGUUUGCAAUCCUUGAAAUCUUAAGCAACUCAAGGACACACGGAGAGAGUUGGGGAUUUCAUUAUUUUCAUAUUUGAAUUUUCUCAAAUUUGAAAAGAGGAUCAUUUUGGUUUAAUAUUUUUCUCUCCAAAAUAUUUCCAAUAUAAAAAUAAAUGAGAGGAGACAAAAUGGCUUCUCCAAAAUAAAAGAAAUAUUGGAGGAAAAAUGUUAAGAUCAAAUAAAUAUUUUAUUUUGGAUUUUUAUUCGAAAUUUAAUUGAAUUAGAAAAAUAUGCAUUUUUUCAAAAUUGCACGUUUAGGCCAGAAAAAUGUUCACUAUGUUCUAAAUAUUUUAUUUAGACGGUGAAAAUUGUUUCUGGCAUUUUUCGAUUUUUUUAUAGUUUAUUAGGAUUUUUCCUUUUCGGUGGAAUAUAUUUUAAAAAAAGGAAAACGCGUCGCCGGACUCGGCCAAUGGCCCAGCCGAGCGGGCCGAAGCCCAGCGCACCGCCGCCUCCCGCUCCGGGUCGGGACCGGACUCCCGAGCGCUGCGGCCGCCGUGUCCACGCGGGACACGCCUCCCGAGGCCGUGCCCCUCCCCCAAGCAGCCACCCCCCCUUUAUAACCCGCACCGCCGCCGCCCCUCCCCACCNNNNNNNNNNNNNNNNNNNNNNNNNNNNNNNNNNNNNNNNNNNNNNNNNNNNNNNNNNNNNNNNNNNNNNNNNNNNNNNNNNNNNNNNNNNNNNNNNNNNNNNNNNNNNNNNNNNNNNNNNNNNNNNNNNNNNNNNNNNNNNNNNNNNNNNNNNNNNNNNNNNNNNNNNNNNNNNNNNNNNNNNNNNNNNNNNNNNNNNNNNNNNNNNNNNNNNNNNNNNNNNNNNNNNNNNNNNNNNNNNNNNNNNNNNNNNNNNNNNNNNNNNNNNNNNNNNNNNNNNNNNNNNNNNNNNNNNNNNNNNNNNNNNNNNNNNNNNNNNNNNNNNNNNNNNNNNNNNNNNNNNNNNNNNNNNNNNNNNNNNNNNNNNNNNNNNNNNNNNNNNNNNNNNNNNNNNNNNNNNNNNNNNNNNNNNNNNNNNNNNNNNNNNNNNNNNNNNNNNNNNNNNNNNNNNNNNNNNNNNCGCGCCGCCAUCGCCCACGCCGCCGCACGCCGCCCCGCCUUGCCGGAUCACGCCGCCGCCCGCCGGAUCUCGCUGCCGGUCUUUCCGGUUAAACCGUAUAAAACCGUUCGUUUUUUCGGUAAACCCUAGAUCGUUUUUUUCUAGAUCGGGUUUUCUCGGUUUUCUUCGGUUAGUUUAUUCUACGAACGUUCGUUCGUUUAGUUCUUAUAACUAACAAAUUUGCUCGUUUUCCUCUGUUAGCGGACGUUCGCGUCGUAGUCUUUUUCUUUUUCUUUUAUUUUCGGCCAAGGAUAUAUCCGCGAUUAUUUUUAUCACAGAUUAGCCCCUGAUCUUCAAACCCUCGCAACUUUUUAACCGUUUGUCCAAAUCUAGUGAAACCAACGCCAAAAUCUACCUCUCGAACCCCUCUUUCUAGUUAAUUAACUUGAACAUGGUUUUGACAAUUUAAAAUUUGUUUUCAUGCAGAUUUGAUUUUGAACUUCUUUUGACCGAAGUUUGAGUUUCGUAGCUCCGAUUUGAUUGAUUAUUUUUGCAAAUCAAAGCUCUUCAGUUGAACUUUUAGUUUGGAUUUCAUUAUUUGAGUUUUACCCUUGCAUCUAUGCUUGAGUGCUUAUGUAUGCUAUUGUUUAUUUGUGAUAGAAUUUCCGGAGUGCGAAGCGUGCUACUACGAGUCACUAGGGCUUGCAGAUCGUCAGCAAGGCAAGUAACACAUUGAUCAUACUUCUUUACUACCCAGUUUUCUAUGCAUUAGUUCAACCCUCAAACAUUGCGUGAGUAGGAUCUCUUAACAUGUGGGUAUUGGGAAGUAGUUGAUGAGGUAGAACCUAUUGUCUUUAUAUCGAACCCUUGGGAGUUACUUCUACGUUAUGCUUAUACCGCUAUGCUAUGCUAGUAGACGUGGUUUGGGUUUGAGUGUAUCUAUGACAGAUCUGAGAUUGUUAAUUAAUGGUUAACUUAAGGUGGCUACUUAAAUACACAUCUGGGUGGAUUGUUUGUGGGCACCUGGGAAUCCAGUGUUGUCCAAGGAGAUCCCGGGGCAUCCGUGUGAUCAUCCUAUGGUUCACCACCCAGGCUCAAAGGUAUCAUAAUAUUAUUCAAGCUAGAAAACUUCCGUGUGCAGCCACAAGCGAUUAUGGGCUCUGGCAUAGUUGAGUAUGUUGUGUGACCUCUUUCAGUGGUAAACUAGCAGAUGUAGGGGAUGUAGGUGGUACGGUUUACCCGUCGAAAGAGUUAAUGCUUCUGAAAGACUGUGUCUCGGUCAUCCCUUUCUCAAACACCAUGAAGUGCGAGAAUUCCAUGGAGGAGAUCGAGUCUUGUGGGGAAAAGUGCGCAAACCUCUGCAGAGUGACCAAACUAAUCAUGGUUAGCCAUGUCCCCGGUUAUGGACAUCUUGAGUAUCUGGUUCUUGAAUUAUCAUGUUGAUCUCAUCACUCUAAAUUAAUUUGUUGGGUUGGAAAUACUGUUUAAUUGGGAUUGAGAUGGGGUUACCAUUCUCAAUGUUUAUCAACUACCAUGAUAGUUAAAGAAAAUAUAUUCCUUUGUUGUAGGGAAAAAUUGGCUUUUCGCAAAAACUUGUUAACCAUAGAGCCUCCACCAGCCAUAAAUGCAUGUUGUGAUAGCUUUUACCUGUUCAUUGCUCUAAUGUGUUAUUUUGCCAGCAUAUUCCAUGUGUUUACCCGUUUCGGGCUGCAACGUAUUAUGUUGCAGACUUUUCAGACGAAGAGUAAGGUGCGCUAGGUCGUUGUCGUGCACUCAGCUAUGCCGUUGGAGUUGAUGGACUCAUUUACCUUUUGAUGCUUCUGCAGUUAUCUUAUUUAGAUGGCCUUAAGCCAUAUUAUUGUAAUAAGUUCUCUUUUGAGACAUUGGAUGUAAUAAGUGUGUGAUUGCACUCUGUUAUAAAUCCUUCAAGUACUGUGUGUGUCAGCAUUAUCGAUCCAGGGAUGACACUUAUGCACAGAUAUUUGACCGUCCGAGGUCGGAUUGCUACAAGAUGGUAUCAGAGCACACGCUGAUUGUAGGACACUACCACUAAGAUAAGCCAUAGGUCACUCUUCUCUACUCAUUUCUGAAUCCUCUCCAUUUUCCACUUAUAGGAUGGCGGACCCAAGGAACAAAUUUGCACAACCGGAUGAAGACACACCUUUUGGGAGACACUUGAAGGAAGUCACUAGGUACCUGAACAUCGGAAUACCAAGCUUCACUGGGACCUACACCGCCACUUUACCAGAAGAGGAGCGUUGGAUGAUUCGAGUUCAAGUUCCAGGAAGGACAUUCACGCCAGUUAUUGAGCCCAUAGAGUAGGAUUUCCGAUCCUAGCGGGAAAAGGAGGGAAACGGAUACUCAAUUUAAAACGCGCCACUUCUAAUGUAAGGAUUGCUAAAAGGAAAAUUUGGGAGAAGUUUCCUUUGAUGCACCAACCUGUAGGCUAGGUAAGAGCAUGGCAGCCCACAUCGCCAUGGGACGCAUCGGCGAAGUUUAUCACAAGGAUCUUAAGGACACCAUCUACCAGAUAUGUGGGCGCCAAGAUGAGCAAUAGGAGAUGAUCAGCACCAGGAGGGACAGGUCCAUUGCAUCUUUCAUCCAGGAGUUAAACCAAAUGUGCGCAAGCAUGAUAGAACUGAAAAAGGUGAUGACCAGGAACUUGGAGCUAGAGGAAGAACUCAAGUCUACACGCGACGGUUACGAGGAGGAAAUCACAAUACUAGUAGAGAAGAAUGACGACCUGACAAGGAAGCUAGGAGUACUCAUGGGAGACCUCGUGCCAGGAGGAGAUGACGACCACCCCGAGGACUACAUCAUCAUCGACGACACCGACUCCGACCCCGACAGUAGUGAUAAUGAUUACGAAGACGAAGCUGGAGCAGAUAUCAUGGAGUCUUCCACUGAUCCAAAUUUCUAGAUGACCACCAUAUUAUCAGUAGUAUUUCCCCCAUGUAUAUAGUAGUAGUCCGAGUAUUUUGUAACGGUAGUUAGAUCGAUUGUAUGCCCUUGUUUGAAUUGAUUGGUGUGAUAUGAAUGUGUUUGUCUCAUGUGCAUAUGGGUAGUGCUUUCUCACUAGACCUCACUCUAUUCUUACCUCUUCCCUCUAAACCCAUCAGAUGCCUCCGAGACGUGACCCCGGAUUUGUCUUCCCACCGGAGCUCACUCAGUUGAUCCAACAGCAGAAUGCCUUGAUGCAACUACUAGUACAGAACCAAGGCAACAACAACAACCCACCGCCACCACCUCUAGUUGACAACUUAGCCUGUUUCCUGAGGUUGAAUCCGCCGCUGUUUUCCAGUAGCACAGAGCCGAUUGUUGCUGAUGACUGGCUACGCAGGAUUGGAAGGGAGUUGACCACCACAUGUUGCACAGAUGCUGAGAAGGUGCGUUUUGCCGCACAUUAAUUGGAUGGACCCGCAGCCAAUUUCCCAUAGCCAAUGUCACUUGGGAUCAGUUUCAGCAAGCAUUCCGCACAACACAUGUCUCAACUGGAGCUAUGAGCAUGAAGAAGCGUGAGUUUCGCAACUUAUGCCAGGGAAAUCAUACUGUGGGGCAGUACGUGGAUGAGUUCAGUAAGUUAGCUCGUUAUGCCCCGGAUGAUGUGGCCACAGAUGUCGCGAAGCAGGAAAAGUUUAUGGAAGGGCUGAAUGAUGAACUAAGCAUGCAGUUGAUGGUGGCAACAUUUGCUAACUACCAGGAGUUGGUAGACAGGCCACAUAUGAUUGAAGGGAAGCAGCAGCAGAUAGAGAGCUGCAAAAGGAAAUAUGGGCAAGGGAAGUAUAACUCUGGAGCAGCGCAGAAACCUCGUUUUACUCCUAACCCGGGAGGGUUUACCCAUAACCAUGGAGGACACACUCACAAUGGAGGAAGUUCCCAUAACCACAGCGGUCCCAGGAAUGGAAAUGGGAAUGGAGCAACCAGCAACCAGAAUCGUUCCAACCCAGCAACACCCGCUAAGAAGGAUCUGAGUCAUGUCACCUGUUACAAGUGCGAGAAGACUGGGCACUACGCCAACGAUUGUUCUGAGCUGAAGAAUGGCAAUGGGAAUGGAAGCUCUGGGAAGAAGCCCAAUCCCUUCACCAGGGGUCAGGUGAACCACAUCCACGUGGAGGAGGUUGAAGAUCAGCCUGGCGCGGUGAUUGGUAAGUUUUUGGUUAAGUCAUUUACCGCUCGUGUUCUUUUUUAUACUGGUGCAUCACAUUCAUACAUUUCAAGGGGAUUUGUGGACAAGUUUAAGCUACCCACUUUAGCCCUUAGGUCACCCAUGUUAGUAAGCUCGCCAGGAGCAGAGUAUAUGGCCAGCCGAUGGUGUGAUCGGUUACCCUUAACCAUUGGCAGCCAUGUUUUCCCCUCUGACCUAAUAAUUUUGGAGUUACAAGGAUUGGAUAUAAUACUAGGCAUGGAUUGAUUGUCGAAGUAUGGAGGAAACAUUGACUGUGCUAGUAAGUCGAUACUUCUCACCACUCUAGAGGGAAAAAGGAUUAAGUAUGUAUCCAGGAAUGCGCCAAAGAGAACCCAAGUAAAUUCCCUCUCAGGAGUUGUACAGGAGGAAGUGCCUGUAGUGAAGGAUUACCCAGAUGUAUUUCCAGAGGAACUACCAGGCAUGCCGCCCGAUCGAGACAUUGAGUUUUUGAUAGAGCAGUUGCCAGGCACCGGACCGAUAUCAAAGAGACCAUACCGGAUGCUCGCAAAUGAUCUGGAGGAGAUUAAGAAGCAGAUUAAGGAGUUACUGGAGAAAGGUUACAUUCAACGAAGUUUGUCACUGUGGGGAGCCCCAGUGCUCUUGGUUGAGAAGAAGGAUGGAUCUUUGAGAAUGGUUGUUGAUUAUUGUGCGUUGAAUGAAGUGACGAUCAAGAACAAGUACCCACUACCGAUGAUCAACAAUUUGUUUGACCAGAUGCAAAGAGCUAAAGUAUUCUCCAAGAUCGAUCUGCGAUCAGGAUACCACCAGCUGAAGAUCCCAGAACAGGAUAUACCUAAGACAACUUUUACUACAAGGUACGGGCUAUAUGAGUACAUGGUUAUGUCAUUUGGAUUGACUAAUUCCCUCCCUAUUUCAUGAGUACGAUGAAUAAGGUGUUCAUGGAGUUCUUGGAUAAGUUUGUUGUGGUGUUCAUUGAUGAUAUUUUGGUAUACUCGAAGAAAGAAGAGGAGCACAAGGAGCAUUUGCGUUUAGUUCUCAAGAAGCUCAGGGAACAUCAACUUUAUGCCAAGUUCAGCAAAUGUGAGUUUUGGUUAAAAGAGGUUGGAUUCCUUGGACAUGUUAUAUCAGGAGAAGGUAUAGCAGUAGACCCUACCAAGGUUCAGUCAGUCACCGAUUGGCUGGCACCCACCUCAGUAGGAGAGAUCUGCAGUUUUCUUGGACUCGCGGGAUAUUAUCGGAGGUUUAUUGAGAAUUUCUCCGAGAUUGUGAAGCCUAUGACGGAGCUGUUGAAGAAGGACACUAAGUUCAAGUGGACCGAAGAGUGUGAGGCCAGUUUCUAGGAGCUGAAGAAACGUUUGGUUACAGCCCCAGUGCUGACUCUGCCGGAUAUACGCAAGGAUUUCCAAGUGUAUUGCGACGCCUCUCGCUUAGGACUUGGAGGUGUACUUAUGCAAGACGGAAGAGUUGUUUCAUACGCCUCACGUCAGCUUCGACCGCAUGAGUUGAAUUAUGCCAUGCAUGAUUUGGAGUUAGCAGCUGUAGUUCAUGCACUCAAGACCUGGAGACAUUUUCUUAUUGGAAACCGUUGUGAUGUGUACAUGGAUCACAAGAGUUUGAAGUACACUUUUACACGGAAGGAGCUGAAUCUCAGGCAAAGGAGAUGGUUGGAGCUUAUAAAGGAUUAUGAUAUGAAGUUGCACUAUCAUGCAGGCAAGGUCAAUGUCGUAGCAGACGCUUUAAGCCAGAAGAGUUAUGCCAAUACCCUCAUAAGCGGAGGAUUACCAGAGGAGUUGGCCGAAGACCUCAGGGAGCUUCGUUUGGAGAUAGUUCCUAGAGGUUUUGUAGCAGCAAUGGAGGUUCAAUCAACAUUAUUGGGAAAGAUUCAAGAAGCUCAAAAGGAUGAUAAGGAGAUUGCUGAGAUAAAGGAGAAAAUGAGUAAAGGAAAAGCCAAAGGAUUUCGUGAUGAUGAGCACGACACUUUGUGGUUUGAGGACCGUGUCUAUGUACCUAAUAAUGCAGAGAUCAGGAAGUUAAUACUUCAGGAGGCCCAUGACUCGCCAUACUCGAUACACCCCAGAAACACCAAGAUGUAUUUGGAUUUGAAGGAGCGUUUCUGGUGGACUGGUAUGAAGAAGGAUAUUGCCGAGUAUGUAGCCGUAUGUGAUGUAUGUCAGAGAGUGAAGGUAGAACAUCAGAAGCCAGCAGCACUACUGCAACCUAUGCCGAUACCCGAAUGGAAGUGGGACAAGCUUGGCAUGGAUUUUGUCACCGGAUUACGUAGGACCCGACUGGGAUAUGAUUCUAUCUGGGUGUAGUGGAUCGUUUGACCAAAGUGGCUCACUUUAUCCCAGUGAAAACCACCUAUACGAGUGCGAAGUUGGCCAAGAUAUAUAUGACCAGGAUCGUAUGUCUGCAUGGAGUUCCGAGGACCAUGGGGACUCAGUUUACUUCAAAGUUUUGGCAUCAGCUGCACCAGACUUUGGGUACCAGGCUAGAGUUCAGUACAACCUUUCAUCCGCAGACAGAUGGACAUACCGAGAGAGUCAAUCAGAUUCUGGAGGACAUGUUGAGAGCUUGUGCGCUAGAUUAAUGAUAAUUUGCCAUACGCUGAGUUCUCAUACAACAACAGUUAUCAAGCUAGUCUGAAGAUGGCACCUUUCGAAGCUUUGUAUGGAAGGAGGUGCAGGACACCAUUAAUGUGGGAUGAAGUUGGAGACCGUAAGUUGUUUGGACCAGAUUUGAUCAAGGAGUCUGAAGAGAAGGUUAAGUUGAUUCGAGAUAGACUGAAGGUAGCUCAGUCCAGGCAGAAGAGUUAUGCAAAUUCAAAGCGCAAGGAGGUAGUCUAUGAAAUCAGAGACAGAGCAUAUCUUCGUGUGUCGCCUCUGCGACGAGUUAAGCGUUUUGGAGUUAAGGGAAAGUUAGCCCCGAGAUUUGUAGGACCAUACCGAGUUUUGGAACGUAUGGGAGAAGUGGCCUACAAGUUGGAGUUACCCGAAGGACUGUCAGGAGUACAUGAUGUGUUUCAUGUUUCCCAGUUGAAGAAGUGUCAUGCUGAGAUUGCUGAUAUUCCUCUGAGAGAUAGAGUGCCCCUGGAAGCAAUUCAGUUGGAAAGUGAUCUGACCUAUGAGGAGAAACCUGUUAAGAUUCUCGAGUUUGCUAGCCGAGUCACACGCAGCAAGGUUAUCAAGUUUUGCAAAGUUCAGUGGAGCCACCAUACCGAGGAUGAAGCCACCUGGGAGCGAGAGGAAGACCUACGGAAAGAUCACCCACACCUAUUUUCUAGCCAACCCGAAUCUCGAGGGCGAGAUUCAUCUUAAGGGGGGUAGGUUUGUAACAUCCUAAUUUUCAAUUCGGAUGUUAUAAUAGGUCAUUAUAUGCAUAUCAUAUUUUAUUUGCAUUUCGUUUGCGAUCCUUGAAAUCUUAAGCAACUCAAGUACCCACAGAGAGAAUUGGGGAUUUCAUUAUUUUCAUAUUUGAAUUUCUCAAAUUUGAAAAGAGGAUCAAUUUGGUUUAAUAUUUUUCUCUCCGAAAUAUUUCCAAUAUAAAAACAAAUGAGAGGAGGUAAAAUGACUUCUCCAAAAUAAAAGAAAUAUUGGAGGAAAAAUGUUAAAAUCAAAUAAAUAUUUUAUUUUGGAUUUUUAUUCGAGAUUUAAUUGAAUUAGAAAAAUAUGCAUUUUUUUCAAAAUUGCAUUUUAGGCUAGAAAAAUGUUCACUAUGUUCUAAAUAUUUUAUUUAGACGGUGAAAAUUGUUUUUGGCAUUUUUAGAAUUUUUUAUAGUUUAUUAGGAUUUUUCCUUCUCGGCGGAAUAUAUUAAAAAAACACGACGCCCGACUGGGCCAACGGCCCAGCCGAGCGGGCCGAAGCCCAGCGCGCCGCCGCCUCCCGCUCCGGCUCGGGACCGGACUCCCGAGCGCCGCCGCCGCCGUGUCCGCGCGGGACACGCCUCCCGAGGUCGUGUCCCCUCCCCCAAGCAGUUGCCGCCCCCCCCCCUUUAUAACCNNNNNNNNNNNNNNNNNNNNNNNNNNNNNNNNNNNNNNNNNNNNNNNNNNNNNNNNNNNNNNNNNNNNNNNNNNNNNNNNNNNNNNNNNNNNNNNNNNNNNNNNNNNNNNNNNNNNNNNNNNNNNNNNNNNNNNNNNNNNNNNNNNNNNNNNNNNNNNNNNNNNNNNNNNNNNNNNNNNNNNNNNNNNNNNNNNNNNNNNNNNNNNNNNNNNNNNNNNNNNNNNNNNNNNNNNNNNNNNNNNNNNNNNNNNNNNNNNNNNNNNNNNNNNNNNNNNNNNNNNNNNNNNNNNNNNNNNNNNNNNNNNNNNNNNNNNNNNNNNNNNNNNNNNNNNNNNNNNNNNNNNNNNNNNNNNNNNNNNNNNNNNNNNNNNNNNNNNNNNNNNNNNNNNNNNNNNNNNNNNNNNNNNNNNNNNNNNNNNNNNNNNNNNNNNNNNNNNNNNNNNNNCAAGCCGCAGCCCGCCGCUAGCUCCGCGCCGCCGCCGUUGCCGUCGCCGCUGCAGCUAGCCACCGCUGCCGCAUGAAGCCCCGCCUCGCCGGAUCACGCCGCCGCCCGCCAGAUCUCGCCACCAGUAUUUUCCGGUUAAACGGUAUAAAACCGUUCGGUUUUUUCGGUAAACCCUCGAUCGGAUUUUUUUUCUAGAUCGGGUUUUCUCGGUUUUCUUCGUUUAGUUUAUUAUACGAAAGUUCGUUCGUUUAGUUCUUACAAGUAGCGAAUUCGCUCGUUUGCCUCUGUUAGCAGACGUUCGUGCCGUAGUCUUUUUCCUUUAAUUUUAUUUUCGGCCAGGGACCUAUCCACGAUUAUUUUUAUCGCAGAUUAGCCCCUGAUCUUCAUACCCUCGCAACUUUUUAACCGUUUGUCCAAAUCUAGUGAAACCAACGCCAAAAUCUACGUCUCGAACCCCUCUUUCCAGUUAAUCAACUUGAACAUGGUUUUGACAAUUGAAAAUUUGUUUUCAAGUAGAUUUGAUUUUGAACUUCUUUUGACCGUAGUUUGAGUUUCGUAGCUCCGAUUUGAUUGAUUCUUUUUGCAAAUCAAAGCUCUUCAGUUGAACUUUUAGUUUGGAUCUCAUGAUUUGAGUUUUACCCUUGCAUCUAUGAUUGAGUGCUUAUGUAUGAUAUUGUUUGUUUGUAAUAGAAUUUCUGGAGUGCGAAGCGUGCUACUAUGAGUCACUAGGGCUUGCAGAUCGUCAGCAAGGCAAGUAGCACAUUGAUCAUACUUCUUUAUUGCCUAGUUUUCUAUGCAUUAGUUUCAACCCUCAAACAUUGCAUGAGUAGGAUCUCUUAACAUGUGGGUAUUGGGAAGUAGUUGAUGAGGUAGAACCUAUUGUCUUUAUAUCAAACCCUUGGGAGUUACUUCUACGUUAUGCUUAUACCGCUAUGCUAUGCUAGUAGACAUGGUUUGGGUUUGAGUGUAUCCAUGAUAGAUGUGAUAUUGUUAAUUAAUGGUUAACUUAAGGUGGCUACUUAAAUACACAUCUGGGUGGAUUGUUUGUGGGCACCUGGGAAUCCAGUGUUGUACAAGGAGAUCCCGGGGCAUCCGUGUGAUCAUCCUAUGGUUCGCCACCCAGGCUCAAAGGGAUCAUAUAAUAUUAUUCAAGCUAGAAAACUUCCGUGUGCAGCCACAAGCCAUUAUGGGCUCUGGCAUAGUUGAGUAUGUUGUGUGACCUCUUUCAGUGGUAAACUAGCAGAUGUAGGGGAUGUAGGUGGUACGGUUUACCCGUCGAAAGAGUUAAUGCUUCUGAAAGACUGUGUCUCGGUCAUCCCUUUCUCAAACACCAUGAAGUGCAAGAAAUCCACGGUUCGCAAACCUCUGCAGAGUGUACAAACUAAUCAUUGUUAGCCGUGUCCCCGGUUAUGGACAUCUUGAGUAUCUGGUUCUUGAAUUAUCAUGUUGAUCUCAUCACUCUAAAUUAAUUUGUUGGGUAGAAAUACUGUUUAAUUGGGAUUGAGAUGGGGUUACCAUUCUCAAUGUUUAUCAACUACCAUAAUAGUUAAACAAAAUAUAUUCCUUUAUUGUAGGGAAAAAUUGGCUUUUCUCAAAAACUUGUUAACCGUAGAGCCUCCACCAGCCAUAAAUGCAUGUAGCGAUAGCUUUUACCUGUUCAUUGCUCUACUGUGUUAUUUUGCCAGCAUAUUCCAUGUGCUGGCCCAUUUCGCGCUACAAUGUAUUAUGCUGCAGACUUUUCAGAUGAAGUGUAAGGUGCGCUAGGUCGUUGUCGUGCACUCAGCUAUGCCGUUGGAGUUGAUGGACUCAUUUACCUUCCGAUGCUUCCGCGGUUAUCUUAUUUAGAUGGCCUUAAGCCAUAUUAUUGUAAUAAGUUCUCUUUUGAGACAUUCGACGUAAUAAGUGUGUGAUUGCACUCUGUUAUAAAUCCUUCAAGUACUGUGUGUGUCAGCAUUACCGAUCCAGGGAUCACACUUAUGCAUAGAGAUUUGACCGUCUGAGGUCGGAUCGCUACAUUGGAUCUCCCUCUUUGUUCUCUUCAGUUCGCGUUCCCCAGAUCUGGCUGAAAACCGUUUCUUUAUAUUCCCGGAGAUCCAUAACUCCGAUUGCGCAGAGAUUUUAACACAAUUUUAUUCCGGAUAUAAGCUUCCUUGCACCCGAAGUACAGCUCCAACUAACGUACGAGGUGGGUACAACCCACCACCGCGCGCCAGGCUCCUGGCCCGUGUGCUGGUGUAUCAUGCCCUAUCUGGGGCUCCGUUUGCGGUGAUUCCAACUCCCAAAAAUCACAUAUAUUCCAAAAUAAUUCUCCGUAAAUUCUCAUCGCCUUUAGAUUUCAUUUGAUAUGGAUAAUCUGCGAUACAAAAAACAUGCAGAAAAUAGGAACUGUCACUGGGCACUGGAUCAAUAGGUUAGUCUAAUAAAUCAUAUAAAAAGUUGCCAAAAGUAUGUGAAAAUGGUAUAAUAUUGGCAUGAAACAAUCAAAAAUUAUAGAUACGACGUAGACGUAUCAGCAUCCCCAAGCUUAAUUCCUGCUCGUCCUCGAGCAGGUAAAUGAUAAAAAAGAUAUUUUUGAUGUGGAAUGCUACCUAGCAUAAACUUGAUCAUAUAUCUAAUCAUGGCAUGAAUAUGAAGACAUAAGUGAUUCAAAGCAUUAGUCUAUAAUUUGACAUAAAGACAUCAAUACUCAGGAUCCCAACAAACAAUCAUGUCUUUCAAAAUAUCAACGCUAAAGAAAGCUAUCCCUACAAAAUCAUAUAGCCUUGUCAGGCUCUGUCUUCUUAACACAAAGUAUUUAUCAUGCACAACCCCGAUGACAAGCCGAGCAAUUGGUUCAUACUUUUUAACGUGCUUCACCUUUUUCAACCCUCACGCAAUACAUGAGCGCAAGACAUGGAUAUAGCACUACGGGUGGAAUAGAGUAUGAUGAUAGGGGUAAAUAUAAAGAAGACAAAGAAGUAAGAAAGUCUCACAUCGACGCGGCUACCAACGGGCUAUGGAGAUGCCCAUCAAUUGAUAUCAACGUGAGGAGUAGGGAUUGCCAUGCAACGAAUGCACUAAGAGCUAUAAGUGUAUGAGAGCUCAAUAUGAAACUAAGUGGGUGUGCAUCUAAUCCUAUAAUGAAAAAUUCCCACUAGUAUAUGAAAGUGGCAACAUAGGAGACUCUCCAUAUGAAAAACAUGGUGCUACUUUGAAGCACAAGUGUGGUAAGGAUACUAACAAUGCCCCUUCUCUCUUUGUUUAUUUAUUUAUUUUCUUUUUUUCUUUUUCCUUUUUCCUUUUUUUCUUUCUUUUUUUAUUUUUUUAUUUUUUCCUUUUUAUAUUUUUUCUCUCAUUGUCCGGAGUCUCAUCCCGACUUGUGGGGGAAUCAUAGUCUCCAUCAUCCUUUCCUCACUGGGGCACUGCUUUAAAAAUGAAUAAUGACGAUCAUCACACUUCUAUUUACUUAUAACUCAAAAGAAAUAAAAAUUACAACUCGAUGCCUAUGACAAAGUAUGACUCUAUAUGAAUGCCUCUGGCAAUGAUCUAGCGUAACAUAUAUGAAAAAUGAUGAACGGUGGCUGAGCCACAACUACUAUGUUAUAUAUAUGAUCAUGCAAAGCAAUAUGACAAUGAAUGCUCAAGUCAUCAAACGGAAGCGGUGCAAGUUUCAUGGCAAUAUAUCUCGGAAUAGCCAUGGAAAAGCCAUAAUAGGUAGGUAUGGUGGCUGUUUUGAGGAAGAUAUAAUAAGCUUAUGUGUGAUAGAGCGUAUCAUAUCACGGGGUUUGGAUGCACCUGCGAAGUUUGCACCACGUCUCGAGGUGAGAAAGGGCAAUGCACAGUACCGUAGAGGCUAGCAAAUUGCGGAAAAUGUAAGAGUGCGUAUAAUCCAUCGACUCACAUUAGUCAUAAAGACCUCAUAUACUUAUUGCAAAAGUUUAUUAACCCUCGAAGCAAAGUACUACUAUGCAUGCCCCUAGGGGGAUAGAUUGGUAGGAAAAGACCAUCGCUCGUCCCCGACCGCCACUCAUAAGGAGGACAAUCAAUAAUAAAUCAUGCUCCAACAUCAUAGCAUAACGGGAGACUAUACGUGCAUGCUUCGGGAAUCACAAACCUUAACACCAAUAUUCUUACUAACCUCAACCAUUUACUAGUACCACCCACAUAUUAUCAUCUCUAUAUUGCAAAACUAUUGCAAGGAAUCAAAUAUAUCAUAUUCAGUGAUCAAUAAGUUUUAUGUAGGAUUUUAUGACUAACCAUGCAAUUGAGCAAUUCCUGUUGACUCUCUAAAUAGAUAUAAGUGAAGCAAGAGAGUUUAAUUCUUUCUACAAAAGACCAUGCUCUAACAAAUAUAAAUGAAGCAAAAGAGCAUUCUUCAAACAACGGUUUUCUAUGUGAAGAGAAACAGGCAAUCCAAACUUCAAAUGAUAUAAGUGAAGCACAUGGAGCAUUCUAUAAAGCCAUACUCAAAAGAUAUAAGUGAAGUGCAAUGAGAAUUCUAUAAAUAAAACAUGGACUAUCUCAUACCAGCAUGGUGCAUAAAAGAAAAAUUAAAACUAAAAGCAAAAGACGCUCCAAGAUUUGCACAUAUCACAUGAACGAAACGAAACCGAAAACAUAUCGAUACUUGUUGAAGAAAGAUGGGAUGCCUUCCGGGGCAUCCCCAAGCUUAGACGCUUGAGUCUCCUUGAAUAUUUACUUGGGGUUACUUGGGCAUCCCCAAGCUUGAUCUCUUGCCUCUCCUCCUUCUCCUCAUAUCGAGACCUCCUCGAUCUUUGAUCACUUCAUCCACACAAAACUUAACAGAAAGUUCGGUAAGAUCCAUUAGUAUAAUAAAGCAAAUCACUACUCUAAAUACUGUUGCAAACCAAUUAAUAUUUUGUUUUUGCAUUAUAGCUACUGUAAUAUAACUUUUCCAUGGCUUAUACCACUUAUAAAAAUCGAUAGUUUCAUCAAAACAAGCAAACAAUGCAUCAAAAACAGAAUCUGUCUUAAACUGGACAGUCUUUAGUAAUCUGAACAUUCACCAUAGCUCUGGGACUCCAAGAAUUCUGAAAAAAUUAGAAAAAAUAAAAAAUUUGUAUAUAAAUACAGUGCAAAAAAUUUCAGAACCGGUUGACAUUCCAGUAAAAAAUGUAAAAUCGCGCACUACAGCCAAAGUUUCUGUUUUGCACCGCACAAACCAAUAGGCAAUGUAAACAUCCUAAAGGCAAAUCUUGGCACAUUAUUUUUAUAAUACAAUGGAAUUAUACAAGGGGAUAAUUUUUUUUUUGAAAAGUUUCUGUAAUUAAGAUACACAAAGUUUCCGUGAGCAUGAACAAAGUUCAAGGACGUCCCCCACUUUCACAAUGCUCGUCUAUCUCACUUUCACUUUUCUUUUUGUGAAGUUUUAAGUUCCCCUGUAUAUUUUUUUGUUUUUAAACUUUAUAAAAGCACUCAACAGAAUUAAAUGACUCUCUAAAACUUCCGGGUUGUCUUCCUGGCAACGCUUUCUUUAAAGCCAUUAAGCUAGGUAUAAAGUGCUCAAGUAAUGAAUCCACCCGGAUCCCAAGGUAUAUCAAAGUCAAUUUGAAUUAACAAUGAUUAGGCAUUUAGUAGUGAGCACAAAGCAACAUAUAUCAAGCAAUGAAGAAUUCUAACUCUCUUCCUAUGCAUCGGCAUGUCAUACAAGAACAAUUCAUGCACAUCAAGUAAAGGCCAAUACAUAGUAUAAGAAGUUUCUUGCAAUUUUAUCGUGUUGGAAACAUAGAGAGGCGGAGAUGUAGUUCCUCUCUCAUAAUAAUUGCAAGUAGGAGCGGCAAGCACAUGCAUAUUAUAUUCAUCAAAAUCAUCAUGUGCAACGGUAAAAGGCAAACCAUCAAUAUAAUCCUUAACAAGAGCAAACUUCUCCGAUAUAGUGUAGUUGGGAGAAUUCAAAAAGAUAAUAGGACUAUCAUGUGUGGGUGCAAUAGCAACAAUUUCGUUCUUAACAUAAGGAACUAUAGCAAGUUCAUAUCCAUAAACAUAAUUCAUCUUGGCAUCUUGGCCACAAGCAUAGUAAGCAUCAAGUUCAUCAAAAAGGGAUAUUUCAAAAGAAUCAAUGGGAUCAUAGUAAUUAUCAUAGCAUUCAUCCUCUGGUAAGAACGAAGGAACAUUAAACAAUGUAUGAGUUGGAGGGUUACUCUCAUUAGAAGGCGGGCAUGGGUGAUCAAUCCGGUCUUCCUUCGCUUGUUCUUCGCUCUCCUCAUCAUCUUAUUCAUCCAAUGAGCUCACAGUUUCAUCAAUUCCUUCUUCCAUAGACUCCUGCAAAAUAUUAGUCUCUUCUUGCACAAAGGAGACUUUCUCAAUAAAUGCAUCAAUAUCGGAAUUGUAUUUAUAAUUAUCAUAGCAAUAUUUAAGGUUAGCCAAAUUUUCAGGUCUAUAAACUGAAUCAUCAAAAUCUUCAAACUUUCAAACAAAGAUUCAAUUUCAUAAGCACCCUUAAAAGCAGCAAAUUCUUCUAUUCGUUCCACAUCAUAGUAAUCAUAUACACCUCUAGAAUAAGAAGCCAAGGUUUCAUCAUCAUUAAAUUCACAUGAAAAGGUAAGAUGUGGAGCAUUCAUCCUAGAGCAAUAAGUAUAAUCAUAUCAAAUCCCAAGCAUACCAUUGCAACAUUUCAAUUUGAUCCCACAAAAGUUUCCCUUUUUGUUUCAAGCGAUAAUCCCUAGAGUAUUCAUGUUGAUCCAAUGUUACUCCCAUUAUAUAGUUGAAUGGGGUUCUCAGGAUUAUCAAAGUAGUGCAUAAUAUUUUUCACAUAACGAGCAUCGAGAGUUUUGGGAGGCUCCCCAUCUCCAUGAGUAGCAAGUAGCACUAAUUUUUUUGGUGUUUCGUGUUCCAUAUCCAUAACUAAAGAUAGAGAACAACUUAGAACGAGAAAUAAAAACUACUUAGUGAUAAAGCAAGCAAGCACACACACGAAUAUUCACCCCACACUAUUGCUCCCGACAACGGCGCCAGAAAAAGGUCUUGAUAACCCACAAGUAUAGGGGAUCGUUUGUAGCCUUCUUCGAUAAAUAAGAGUGUUGAACCCAAGGAGGAGCUAAAGGCAGAACAAAUAUUCCCUCAAGUUCUAUCGACCACCGAUACAACUCUAUGCACACUUGACGUUUGCUUUACCGGAAACAAGUAUGAAACUAUUUUGCAAGGAUAAAACUACGAGUACUUUGCGACAAUAAAACUACGAAUAAAUUGCAAGGUAAUAAAAGUGGAUAGCUUUUGUCAACAAGAAAGUUAUUUGUCCCUAGGCAAUCGAUAACAAGUACCAGUAAUCAUUCUUGUAAUUUCAUAUGAGGGAGAGGCAUGAGCUAACAUAAUUUCUCUACUUGGAUCAUAUGCACUUAUGAUUGGAACUCUAGCAAGCAUCCGCAACUACUAAAGAUCAUUAAGGUUGUGAAACCCAACCACAACAUUAAGUAUCAAGUCCUCUUUACUCCCAUAUGCCAUAACCCACCUAUCCGCGUUUAAGUUUAUGUCACUCUCGCAACACUGACAAUAAGCAAAUCAUGAACAUAUUGCAACACCCUAUAACGGGGGGCCCUCACGUUUGCGCGAGACAGAGGGCACCGUAGGACAGCACCAUAAAUAAAAUAUACAAUCAUACCAACCAAGAUCGUGAUUAACCCACAAGACAAAACGGAUCUACUCAAACAUCAUAGGAUAACCAUAGAUCAUUGGGAAAUAAUAUAUGGAUUUGAGCACCAUGUUUAAGUAGAGAUUACAGCGGGGGAAGAGUUGUUACACCGCUGCAUAGAGGGGGAGAAAGUUGGUUUUGAUGGUAGCAAGAUUGUUGAUGUAGAUUGCUGUCACAAUCCUAGCCCCGGUGGCACUUCGGCGCCACCGGGAGAGAGGGGGGAGCCCCCCUCCUUCUUCUUCUUACUUGGCCUCCCCCUAGAUGGGAGGAGGGUUCCCCCUCUGGUCCAUGGUCUCCAUGGCGGCGGAGGGGCGGGAGCCCCUCCGAGAUUGGAUCUCCCUCUCUGUCCUCUUCUGUUUCGCGUUCCCCAGAUCUGGCCGAAAACCAUUUCUUAUAUUCCCGAAGAUCCGUAACUCCGAUUGCGCUGAGAUUUUAACACGAUUUUUUUCGGAUAUAAGCUUCCUUGCACCCGAAGUACAACUCCAACCGACAUACAAGGUGGGUACAACCCACCACCGCGCGCCAGGCUCCUGGCCCGUGCGCUGGUGUAUCGUGCCCUGUGUGGGCCUCCAUUUGCGGUGAUUCCAACUCCCAAAAUUCACAUAUAUUCCAAAAUAAUUCUCCGUAAAUUGUCAUCGCGUUUGGACUUCGUUUGAUAUGGAUACUCUACGAUACAAAAAACAUGCAGAAAACAAGAACUGGCACUGGGCACUAGAUCAAUAGGUUAGUCCAAUAAAUCAUAUAAAAAGUUGCCGAAAGUAUGUGAAAAUGGUAUAAUAUUGGCAUGAAACAAUCAAAAAUUAUUGAUACGAUGGAGACGUAUCACCUUGCUCACGCAAAUAUUAAAUGCUUAGAGCCAAGCUAAUAGCCAUUCUAAGAGCCAACCUAUUAUAUGAGUAUUUUUUAUGAUGACUCUAAGUGAGGUGGCAUCUCCUUAUAGCCAACAGCCGGCUACAUUGGAGCACUCUGGCAAGGCCCAGAGGUUAAUUUGAGAACAAGUACCUCGAGGUUAAUUUGACAAACAUGACAUAUAAGUUGACAGAGGUCAUAUGACCAUUUUUGGAAACAUGUCGUAAAGUAACGCGAUAGACCUUCUUUCAAGUCAAUUAGCAUGUGUUCAAAAAAUAAAAAUUAUUAAAAAGUAACACAAUAGACCUUCGAUUAACAUGUGUUAAAAAAACAAAAAAUGUCAAAAAAUACAAAACAAAGACCUCAAUAUUAACUAGAUGGAUGGAUCACUCUAAAGGUUUAUUAUUAUAAACCUUUACAGUGACCCAUACUAUCUAGUUAAUAUCAAGUUCACUUCCCAUCCGGUCACCCAUCUCAUGGCCACUCCAGCCUCAGCACAGUUAACUUGGGAGUUCUGUUAGAUGAGCUAUCAGUAGGGAAGUUGGUCCUUGCUGAUAUAGGAUGCCUCUUCGUAUCAUUUAUGGCAUACCUAGAUGACCGCUUGGUGCCGCCCAAUAGCCAAUGCCACGUCCCCUGCGAAUGUAGAAGCUUCCCUCCCUCGUCUAGUUGGUUCAUGCAUUUUCCCCUGCUUUUUGCCACCUGCCCACCUAUAGAACCGCCUCGCGCUGGCAAAUUCCUCUCCAAGCACCUAGGGAGGCGGUUGAACCGAACAAGUAUAACUUGUUUCUAGUGGGUACAUUGACGUGGCAUCGAAAGGGUGUGAUAGCUGACUCUUGCAAAAUAAUUAACUACCACGUUGGCAUACAUGAGCAUGGGGCCCACUUGUCAGCAUUCUGGACAGAGGAAGGAAUGCAAGACAAAAUGGAGCGCGGAAGGGUGCGAAUCGAUUGGCUCACGUGUGAUGACCACUGGAGCAAUCCACGCAGGUACUACAUUAAAAAAUUCAUGCAAACAUGGACGGUUAUACUGUGAGUAGGUGACCGUGCGCUUGGCUCUUCGCCUCUUUCAAAAGUCGAACAAUGAUGAUGGUACUACAGUAUAGAUAAUUCUGGCAAUCUGACACCGAAUGAACUGUUGCAUGUCCACCGCCUGUAUUAAGCGCACUAUCGUAAUGCAAAAGCUUCUCCUCGUCCUGCGAGCCACCGCGCGCACGUGAGCGACGGAAGGAGUCGUACUAGUAGUAGUAAGCAAAGCUUCUCCUCGUUUGCGAGUAGACCGGACACAUCAAAAGUAGUGCAUUAGUCUCCAAAAAGGGUUUACCAUGUCCAUGGCUACCUUCCUGUGCUCCAUCAUUCAAUGUGUGCUUCUCGUUGUUCUGCGAGUUGACGGCACACACCAAAAAGGGCUGACCAUGUCCAUGGCUACCAUAUCAUGCUCCGUCAUUGAGUACAUGCACUAUUCACAUGCCAUCGAGGAGGAAAAAUAUUGCAUAGUACUAGGUGCCAUCGUAGUGCACGACUCACUUACGCACUGCUUAUCUCCAUUUUCUUGCAUGACACGUGCACCUUGAUGCUAGAUGUCCCGCGUGUUGGCAAAAGGAUGAACAAAGCUCAUGUAAAAAAAGAGUGGAAGAACAUAGAUUCUCGAUGACCGAGAAGGAGCAAGGAACCUCGUGGUGGAGCGUCUGCACUCAUAAUAUUUUAUAUUAUUCAGCGAUAUAAAAUCAACCAAUCAUCUCCACGGUAGACCGCAAGGGUACGAAACACGACAGCCCAGUGUAGUUACAUCAUACUGUACAUGGCCAACCCACGCUAUCACCAUAUUUCUUGGCCUCUGUGCGGCACCUAGCUCUAGUAAUCCACUAGCCCUUGUCGCUUCUCGCUCCUUGUCUCUCUCAAAGUGUGGCGGGUUGGCGUUUUUGCCGUCUAUUGAGGUCGGUUAACUCAUGACAUGUCAGCGACAUGCCAAGAGCAUUCUAAAAAAAUAUUGUACUCUAUUGUUAUGCCAAGAAGAGGAAGCGCUUUGACCGACGGACCAAACGAGACAAGCGUGUUGUGCCGUGAGUGGGUCUAGUUUCUCAUUUUGAACUUGUUUGGUGUAGUAGUAACACUUGGUUUUGACUAUUGACAAGAUUUUAUAUAGGGGCUAAUGUAUUCUUCGAGGUUGCCUUUGACUAUUGGUAAGAUUUUAUAUAAUUUGAAAAUUAUAUCAUUCAAAGAUCCUUUCAUGUUCCAGUUUAAAAAAAGAUCCUUUCAUGUACGAAUUUGACGGUAUGCUUUGAGCAACUUGCAUGUCCUAUACUGCUCCUGUUUGGAUACUUUAACUUAGCUAGAUGUUAGACUAACUCAUGACUAACCCUGAACUAACUAUAGCCAAAGAGGUGUUUGGACGACAGGGUUAGAUUGACAAUAAAUGCACUUGAUGGAGAGAGAAAAGUGAUUUUUCAGUGGGCCCAAUGAGAACUAUCUCCAAUUAGCACCUCUUGGGUGAGAUAGUUUUUUUGGUGGGAUCUAUGCAACUUGCUCCAAUUUAACCCUCAUGUUUGGAUACUUUAGGGCUAUUUGAGCCCCAAAUAGCUCAGACUAACUCUAACCCAUGGAUCCAAACAGGGCCAAAGUUAGUCUCGGAAAACGCAUUAAUCCAUAUAUAGAUGGACAGACGGAGAACAUGAUACUAGCAAACGCUCACCAUUAGUAGUAGUUCAUUGGUUGGUUUCGAUUUUUGAUUCAGUUGCUGUGCUGCUACCGUCCAAUAUUCGCGUGUGGUUGUUUCUAGAAUAAAAAAAGAGGUACUCCCUCCGUCUAGGUGUGUAAGUCACCUAAGGUGGAGCAGCGCGACCUAGGUGGCUGCAGAUUGGAAGAGGCCAAAGAAUCAGACCGAAAAUUCUUCCAAUCACCGCACCACUUUUUUCCUCCUAAACCAAACGAAGAUUAGCAAUGAAUCCCUAAUUAAUAGGGCUGCCGUUUUAGCCAACCCAUGCAGGCCCAUUGACGUGCAUGCAAACUGGGGUCAAUCCCUCCCCUAAUCAACGUGUUCCUUCUCAGCAUGCAUAGGUCGCUCAUUCUCUCCCGCAUUAACUUCCUCCCCCGCGUGGUUCAGCCAAAAAUUUGCUCGCCGAUGAACGAGGUAGUGAGGGGAACAAGGACGGAAUUUAACGCAUUGUGCCUAAGUGUUUUGGGAAUAUCUGAUUUUUGUAAGGUGACUUACACACCCAGACGGAGGGAGUAGUACUUACUCUGGGAAAGGUGAAGUGAUGGUUGCUUCGCCCGAGCAACUUAUUACUCUGGGAAUAUGGGAGUACCAGUGGAUUCAACGAACAGAGAAAUGAUGGUUGCUUCAUUCGAGCAACUUACUGUGGCAAAGGUGGGGCUCUGUGAUUUGACUGCUCACUAGUCAUUACUACUACGGCACAAUGACCGGGGUGAAUCUUUCCCUGCAGUUGUGCACUCAAUAUUGUUGCAUGGCAGGUGGAGCCGGAUGAAGGAUGUCCCACAUGUCGGUGAAACGAAGUUGAAUUGUUUUUGGCAUUGCUAUCAAUCCUUUAGGAUUUGUUUAUAUGUACCCAUCAUUUUAAUGAAGUUGUACUGUGAUGCUAUGAAGGUUUCAACUUUGGUUCCCGCAGGAAAAAAGUUUCAACUUAGGAUUCAUGUGUCCUCUUGCCUCAAGAUUAUCUCGUUACAACAUUCCAUCAAAUACAAAUGAAACUACCAUGGCUGCUAAUGCAUCUCAAUGGUUCGCAGAUCAGCGCCAAUAUUCACAUCACAACAGAAGACAAAGUUGUGAGAAGGUGUACAGAUAAAGAAAAAUAUAUAAUUGAUCGAUGUUGUUCGUAGGCAUGGCUCCAUUUCCUGGGCAUAGUGUUCAUUGGUUGGCAGCUAGUUUCACCCAGCUCUGUAGCCGACAAAGAGGUGUAUGGAGGACAUCACAAUCCGAUCAUUUUGUGCAGCUCCACUAAAAUCGAGUUGACCAUCCCUGUUUGCAAAGAUAUCCAGUCAGUGUGAUUACAAUAAUAGUGGAACUAGAUGAUGAAACAUAACACACACAAAUAGAAGCCGAUCACCUCUGCGAUCUCUAUUUAGGACUAACUACCUGGUGGAGAAGAUUAGGCACGGAGUUGGAUGAGGAGGAUAGCAAAACCAAUCUCCCUUUCUACAGUCCCACAGAAAUGUAAAAACGUUGCAUGUGUGACAUUUUGGCAGAACUGCACAAAAUACUAUUAGGAAAAAAGUGAUUUGUGCAGUUCACCAAAAGGUCGCAAUAGCAAUGAGGUGAAAUGGAUAGCCCUAUUUGCAAAAGGAGGUAGAAAGGAAACAAUUACUGCCCAAUAACACGAGUUGAAGACACAUACGCCGACAAAAAAGAAGCAUAUUCCAUGUAAUAAGGGAAAGAUAGCAGCAUAGUGGUUUAUCAAAAAUGUUUUGAGGACGAGAUUGCAAGAUGAAAAGUACGUCGGCCGAGAUACGUUUUAAGCAAAUAACUAAAGAAGAUCCACAUGCCGGAUUUUCCACAUGCAACAACGUGGGAAGAUGGGGAGUGGAGCAAGGCCGGAGGAAGCUGUACCUGAGGGUCGUCGGGAUGUUACUAGGAGGGCGCCGGCAGCCGGGAUCUGCCCAUACCGCGGCAGCGAGCAAGUGGCGAAGGCCCUACCGUGUCAGAGCUUGGUCAGAUAGAACGGCGGGUACCGCAGCUCAGGACGUGCUGCCUCAACGCCGUCGAGCGGAGAAAUGAUGCACAUCCUCCCUUUCCGCCGGCGGAUGGGAUGCGGCGAGAUCACUGACCAACGGUGAGAGAGAGAGGCCACCGCUGCCUUGUGUGAGAUGGUGUGACGAGAGACAAACCCCGGCAGGCAGGCUCCGUUGUAUAUAGUGGAGCGGAUUUUCCCAUUUUCCCCACGACAAUCAUUUUAUAUUCUGUACGUGCCAUUGAGGAAUAUAACUUUAUUUAAUACUGACGCGUCAAGUCGACUUUGUUCCGUCUAUGCGUGGUACAUGACCCUCCUUGGAGUAAACAACCGCUACACGCGUAAAAUUAUCAUGUGGGUUGCCUUUUCAUAUAGAAACGAACUCCACCGUGUACCCGCGCGGGUGUGGCCGGGAACGAGACGUGAGUACGUGCGUCCUACGUGCACCUCUUCUUUAGGUGCAUGUACGUACGCGGGUUGGUGUGAGAGAGAUGGUUUGUGCAAGCCAAAGGCAAUGUGUCAAUGAUAUCUCAAACAAAAAAAGUAACAUAUGCAAUGUGUGUGAAACAGAGUCAUGGAUAUAUCAUAUAUAAAGGGAGCGAUCCACGAGAAGAGAGUGGAGGGAUCAUCGGCGUGAGAUAUUGAUAGAAUCGAAAAUAGGGAUGAACUGUCUGGCUGCGCGAUCGAUAAAGAGUGCCAUCGAAUUUGUGUUUGCCCACGUCAAAGAUACAGGGCGGCUGGCCUACUGGAAUUUGAGAGGGCAGAGGUGCAGUUUUUCUCUAUGGCAUCGAUACCUACCUACAACGUUCGACUAUCGGUGUGUGUGGGGGGGAGCGAGGAGGGGCAGAGACCUAACUAUAGAGAGGUAGAUCGACUAGUAUAUGUGUGGAGAAGGAGAGAGACCUAGCUAUGUAUUGAGGGAGAUCGAUCGGCAUCCAUGCAUAUGUGUAGCAUAGGAAUAAGGUUGGGAGAAAGACAAAGGUAGAGUGUCGGAGGGUUGGUGGUGGAGUGGCUUCUCACAAAUGGUGGGAGAGGCCUGGUAGACAAACGGAGGGUACGAGUGCAAUACCAAUAAGAGAGGGCCGGGGAUGUCUGUCUGUCUAUGCACGUGCGUGUGAGAGACCGGUCGGGAGGUAUGCAAGGAUGAUGUGGGGGGGCGAUAUGGUUGUGGUAAGCAUACGUAACUACAUAGUAAGAUCAACCAUCGUGUGUCCGAGAAAGGGAGAGACAUAACUAGUCUAUCGGUGCGUGGGGAAAAAGAAUUAUAGUCGACCUAGCUAUAUGUAGGGAGAUCGGUACGUAUACAUGCACGCAUGUGUUAGAAGCAAAUAAGGUCCGGAGAGACGGAUAGGGGGAUAGGGGUGCGGCUAGGAGGUGGUGUGAGAGGCCUACUAUGUCGAGGGGGGAGGAGUGUGCGAGUAUGAGAUCGACGAAAAGAGGGGCGGGAUUGUGCACCCGCGUGGAACCGUAUUGGACAUAGGGGCAUGGACGGUGAGAAGAGAAGAUGGGAAGUGUGUGUUUGUGGUAGUCACACUUGGCUAGAGAGGUAGAUCGACCGGUGUGUGCCGGAAAGAAGGAGCCGGGGGGCCUAGACACACUGCGGAUGAAUGACCUAAAGAGAAAUAUUGAACGUGCGCGAUGGAGGGGACGCUAAGGGAGGGUGAGACGGGGCGGGCGUGUGCAUGCACGAUAGAAAGUUAGCGCUAGCUAGCUACAAAGAGAAGAGGACCGUGAAGGUGUAAAAGAUGAAGAUAUAUCAUAAUUCAUUAUAAAAAAGUGGAUACAGAUACUUGAAGAAGAUAUCAUAAUGUAGAACAUUGAUUAUAAUUUGGGAUAAUGUGUGGCUUUUGCAGCUCAGGGCUAAAUACUUGUCAUAAUGUAGGGGGCGGGGCACUAUACUUUGUGUGAUAAACACGGUGUACGUACGGAACAUGGUUUAGAUUAUGAAUAUCUAGUUAGUACAUCAAAUGUAUUAUUAUUUGGAAUCAACAUCAAGUGUAUUCAAAUAAUUGAGUUCGAGUUCAUAUAGUACACAUAGUUCAUAUCUAUCUCUAUAGUAAUCAUGUGGUGUGUUGUUAAGGUAAUACACGAAUGAUGGUUGAAGUUGGCAACAAUCAUGAUUGUAGAUUCUUAUUCAAAUAGAGAAACGAAUUCAAAUUUAGUUCGAAUUGCAGCGGUAGUAUAGACAUUUGGAAUGCACUAAAAUGUUGGUAUGGGUAGGUUACAUGCAUUAUACAGCCAGCGAAAAAAUUUAAUUGGACAUAACAUGGAUUCAUAGCUUUGAAUAGCAUUUGUAUAGUAAAACGGGACAAGACUCUCUCUUUGUGUGGUGUGAAUAGUUUUAUUUUUUUCGUUUUUUUCAUAGAGGGAAGUGCAAAUUGAUUUGGUACGUACAAGUGCAAUAUUACACGUUAGACUUGUCCCUAAAAUUCAACCCGCUCCUUGUUAUAUCCCAAAAAUUCAGAUAUCGUGCUCCCAAAACUCACGCCUUGCUAUCCCAAAAUUACAACGCGCGGGAAAACUCCCUCCAGCUGCCAAAUCCCGACACGUGAAAUCCCCCUUCUAACCCUGAGUCGAAAGGGCCGCUAGUUCAAAUCGGUGGGGGUACUUUUGUAACACACCCUACAUUUUGGACAAGUGUGUUCCUAAGUCAUGGUUCCCCCCUCCCAUCGCCUCCUUUUCACCAUUUGAAAUCCCAGGCCGCCAUAACCUCUCCGCUCCAGCCGCAAAACCCAACCCUCCUUCGUCCGCCACCUCACCGCUGCCCAGCCGGAGCCCCUUCCCCGACGACAUCGUCCACCGCAACAGCUCGACGUCCCUCAUCCACCUCCCCGGAUGAGGAUCCGUUGUCCAUCUCGUCGUCCCGCCGGUUCAGCCGCCCCGUCCUCCACCUCCAAGGAGCUGCUCCAAUGAUCGCCUCGUCUAUCGGGGCUGCUCCAUCCCCACAGCGCCGCCUUAACCUGCUCCACCGGAACCGCAACAUCCUCACCGAGUCCUCAGACGAAGUCGAGGCCUACUCGGGGCCACCAAAGAGGUUGUACACUCAUCGCAUCACACCUUCUCCUUCACUCGACCUCCCGGCACCGACGGUGCUCCAUACCGCAAACCCAUGGCGUGGCUACCUCGAAGUCGGCGCUGCGGGCGACAUCUCCACGGUGGCUCUCCACCAGUGCAAGGCCCCUUCGGCGGCAGCGGCCAUACCAGCCGGAUCUGCUGCUGCUCCUCCGGCUCUAGCUCGCUGGCUCGCGCAGCUGCUGCUGCUCCGGCUCUCGCUCACUCGCUCGCGCUGCUGCUGCUCUCCCCCUCGCUUGUGCUGUUGCUCUGCUCCGAUUUAGCUACACUUCAGUUGACUGAAUCGACUUUUGGGUCAGUCGAUUUUCAGGGGGUGGGGGGCUCGCCGGAGUUAACGAAGAACCACCCGUAGCGGGGAAGGGGGCUUGCCGGAGAGGUACCCCACUAUCUACCUUAGGGUUCAGGGUAGGGGCGNNNNNNNNNNNNNNNNNNNNNNNNNNNNNNNNNNNNNNNNNNNNNNNNNNNNNNNNNNNNNNNNNNNNNNNNNNNNNNNNNNNNNNNNNNNNNNNNNNNNNNNNNNNNNNNNNNNNNNNNNNNNNNNNNNNNNNNNNNNNNNNNNNNNNNNNNNNNNNNNNNNNNNNNNNNNNNNNNNNNNNNNNNNNNNNNNNNNNNNNNNNNNNNNNNNNNNNNNNNNNNNNNNNNNNNNNNNNNNNNNNNNNNNNNNNNNNNNNNNNNNNNNNNNNNNNNNNNNNNNNNNNNNNNNNNNNNNNNNNNNNNNNNNNNNNNNNGUGGGGAUCGCCGGAGAAAAAGCUCGGCGCGGGGGGGAGGGGCUAGAGGGCUGGCCGGGGCGGCGGCAGACCGGUGGUGUGGAGUUGUUUCGUGGCGGCGAGGAGGCGCGGGAGCGCCGCCGGCCGUGGGCGGUGGGGGCCUGCAGUUCGUCCGGUGGUGGCUAGUGGCUCAUGGGGUGCAGGUUGAAGAUGAACUGCAGGCCCUCCCUAAACUACAUGUGAAGUACCUCUCUGCUACCAUUGCGUUCAAUUUCGACAUUAACAUUCAGAUUCCACAGUAAAUUUCAGCUUCGACAGUUAAGUUCAGAGUCAAUAGUUUUUACCUCAUCUGUUGUAGUCACGUGGUUUUUGGUGAUGUAAAUUUUACAUCUAUCACUUUUUGGUAAUGUAUUUUACAUCAUCUAUUGGAGAUGCUAUUAGAAUCCCACUUGAGAUUAAUGAUGUCUAUCUUGUGCUGCUUCAGCCUCGACGUCUUACGGCUCGCCAGAGCUGCUCCAACGACGGAACGAUCCAUCACAACAGAGCAGUGCCCUGGACGCCGUCUACAGAUUCCUCGGAUCUUCGUCCACACCUCCGAUAGCCACCUCUGCCUCAACUUCUUUAGCGACCAACCCAAUGAUGCUGAGGUCGACACGGCUACGGCAAAGAGGUUGUAUACUUGUCGCAUCACUUAUUACUGUACAUUCAUGUCAAUCCAUUAGGGCUAUUUUGGUUCAACGGAAAAACAUAGCAAUAGGAAAUUUUCCUAUGGCACUCUACUAUUCAAUUAUUCAUGCAUUUUGUUGAAAGGAAUGGAGCAAAACAUACACCUAGACCUACUUUUCAAAAUCCUAUGCAUGAAAAUAAGACCAAGUGCAUUUGUGGAAGAAUAACAUUCUAACUGUACACGCUUUCAUAUGGUUUCACUUUAUUUUGGCCAUGUUUCUUUGCAUUCCUCUGCUCUUCCAAUUCCUCUGAACCAAACACCCAAGUUGACAGAAAUCAUGUGUUUACAAAUGCUAUGUUUCCCAUGUGCAUUCCUAUCCUAUUCUGGUGUUUUUCCUAUCCCUGCGUUUUUAGAAUCAUGCAAGCCAAAUGAGCCCUUACAGAAUUACUUCAGUUACAGGUAGGUGUCGAAGAAAACUUUGUGUGGUUUGUCCUGCUCCUGCCACGACGUCGUCCACCUCACCUGAGCUGAUCCAUCGACAGAAGCAUCAACCAAACCAGACAUCACGACUCCUGACCAUCUUUCGCCGCCUCAGAUCUCCUUCCCUGCCGCCAGCACACACCGCAAAGGAAUCACCAUCAUCGACUCAGCAGAUGAACCUGAGGAAUAGACGGGUCCACAAGAGAGGUCGCACUCUUUUGUUUCUACUUAUGUUAUGCAUUGCUUAAAAUUACCUGCUACUUUAUCGUCUUGUUCACCUCUUAAACUCCAAGUCAGGUCCAAAUUAAUGUUCAAACUUGAGUUCUAAAUUAGUUGCGAGGCACAUAUCGAGGCAGCAAUGAAUAGUAUCUUUGUCUAAUAUCUGGUUCACCUAGGGUAUGCCUAUGUUGUUCAUCUUGGGUGGAAAACAAAUAGUAAAGUAAUCAUCAUCUGUCUUUUUAUUAAAUUAAAGCAAUCAUCAGCCUCCUAUCAUUAUUUUUGGAUCCAUCCACUGGUUGUUACCAUCACUCAAGAUUUCGGCAUGCUCUCCUUACAUAAUCUCACCAUAUUUUUUUCAUAUGCAUGUCAGAUAUUGUACAUAGUCAUGUUGAAGAUGUAGAGAAAAAGAGAAGAGUUUUGCACGACAAUACAAUGUCAUGCAGACAUCGUUCCAUGGUGGGUUCAAUGGCAAACCCUCCCCCCCUCUCCAGAUUGUAAUCCAGAGGAAGAUAUCUGUUCUAAAGCGGAUUCGGACGCAGCUAACCACUCCUAUUUACCCCCAAGGUGUUUUCUCUACCUUGGCAUGAUGAUGUUAGUCAUAUCAUGCAUAUGUUGCCUUGUAGUGCCUACUUUCGACAUCAUAUAUGUCAUCUGCUUAGUUUAGACAUGUUCUGUAAUGCCACCUGCUUAGUUUCUAUAUCAUAUAUGGGAAUUAUGCAAUCUCAUGUCUUUUAGCCAGCCAUAAUAUAUGCGAAAUGUGCAAUGUCAUCCUAUUUAACCAGGCAUCAUAUAUUUGAAUGCUAUCUUGCCCAUCAUUUUCUUCAUUACAUUUCCAUUUGUCGACAAUGUUUGUACAUUGAACUAUUCUUCCUCUGAAUUAGCCAUUUGAGUGGGAGAUGGAAAAAUCUGGAGUGGAAACAAGGCCUUCGGAGCAGACAGUGCUACUCGUCGAAGCAGAUCUCUUGCUGGGUCCUGAUAGCUCCUCAGAGAUGGAUUCAGAGACAGAUGACCAGUGCUAUUCCCCCACCGAGUGUAUGCUCUAACUUGGCACGGUUAUACUUCUCAUAUCAUGCAUAUGGUGUCUUGCAUUGCAUAGUUUAGACAUCAUAUACACAAUAUUCAACACCAUGUUCUUAGUUCAGGCAUCAUAUAUGCGAAUGCCCUCUGCUUAGCAUAUAAAUCACAUACGUGAAUUAAAUCAUGCGAUCCUGAUUACUUAGAUAACAUGUAUGUGAAUUAUGUCAUGCGAUCCUGUUUAGUUAUUCAUCAUAUCUUUGAAUUAUAUUAUGCUAUGCUAUCCAGUUUAGAUAGACAUCAUAUAUGUGAAGUUAUGUCAUGCUAUCCGUUCUACUUAAACAAUAUACGUGUCACCUAUUUCAUGCCCUCUUUUUUCCACACUAUCUAUUGCAUCUGUCUCUCAUACAAUGUACGUACAUUCAACUAUGUUUCAUGUUUAUCGGCCAUUUGAAUUGGAGCGGGUGAUGAUAGUAUCUAGCGGAGUAAAAACAAGGUCUUCAAAUAAAACAGUGCUACCUCUUGGUGGAGAUAGCACCCCGGUUGUACAUGCACGAGAACCAUCCCUACCACACAUAACCCAGACUCUCGCAGAUUGUACCCCUACUGCGAUGGACAGAGAACCAGCUUCACCCAAUCUAACCCCAACCCCAGCAGAUAGUAACCCAGUUCCUGUUGACACAGCACCAUCUCCACCACAGAGCUCCCAAACAAGAGCAGUUAGUAAGGCAGCUCCAGUGCCCAAAGCGCCAGUACUACCACGGCAAACCCCAACUCCACCAGUUAGUACACCUAUUCCUGUGGAGGAAGCACAACCAGCCAGUCAUAGUUUAGCAUCUAUCACAUUUGAUGUUGUUAAAUCCUAUGUCCGUAUCUUCCCAUCAUGGGAAUAUUAUACUGAAGAUGAAGGAAAAUGCCAGUUGCAGGUGUUUGUACAGGAGUUAUGUGUAAGUAAUGUUAUUCAUGGUAAUUACUUUGCUUUGUCCCAUACAGUCUACCUCCAUGAUGGUUAUAAUACAUCAAAUUUUUUCAUUUUUCUCUAUAGAGAAGGGCCGAUUUUGGAAACUCGGGAUGAGGUAACCUGUGCUAAUACCUCUGCUAUCUUCAAGAAUGCUUGGUGGCAGUAUCAGAAUUACCUGAAGAAUACGUACUUCACUGGCAAAGAAACUCAUCAAAUCCCUUACGUUAUCCUGAGACACAUCUACUGGACGAUGACUAGGAACGCCUUGUUCUGUACUGGUCCCGAACCAAGAAUGUGGUAAGGUCUAUGAACUUAUUUUCUAUUUUAAGUACUAUAUUCUUGCGUCUUACUGUACUCUGUUCAUUUAGAACAAGUGCUUAAACCUGAAGAACAACUGUUCUCAUUUAAGAUUCCAUUGCUAUCGUGCAUACUGCUUUGCUCUUAUAUCGCUGUAUUUACUCAUACAAGCUUAUUUUUAAAUUGAAGGAUCCAAUCAAAACUCCAAUGGCACAGCAGGUAUGUUACGCAUGUUUCCUUAACAGGUUUGCUCUUAUAAAUAGCUCUGUUGAUUUCAAUUUCAAUUGUGUAUACAGUUGACUUCUCAUAUCAUGCACAUUACUAGCAUCACAACAGAGCCAAUAGUGUUGUUGUACAUGUAGACCCGUGGUACCCAUCUAAAAGCUUAUCGUGUCGUGUAGUUUCCGACGCUUUGUAUUAUUUCAGAGCUGCUUUGUCUUGAACUGAUAUGAUUUGAACCGUGUCUCUAUCUUGAUUUGGCAAGACAAUGAAGUGACCAUAUGACAUAGAUAGAUGUUUGUUUGAUGCUUUUAUUAUGUACUACUUGGCAAUAGAAGACUUGGUAGUUUAAUCAUGUCCACCUUACUAAUGAACUGGUUCACCGAAAUGAGUUUCAUAUACUAGUACAUGCUAAACCUGUUAUGUGUCUGCUUGUUUCUUCUUUUAGAAUGCUGACAGAAUAUUGGGGAAGAGUGCCUUAUUAAGCAAUGGUAAAGGAAGUAAUGCAGAGAAGGUUCAAGAUAGUGAGACAUCCUUGUUGGUCUCCAACAAAGCUGAUAAAACAGCUAAGGAAAACUAUCUUGAAGACAGUGAGACAACCCCAAAGUCUUGUCUUGGUUUAGUGUUCAAGUUACUGGCCACUACUGCUUGCACAAGCUAUUCAAACUCACUGCCUGAAUCAGUUCAGUUUCUUGAGUCUCAACUACAAGCUGAAAGACAUCGAUUAGCUGUGCUGUGACAAGAAGCGGAAGGACUGCGGAAGUCCCUGGAGCAUUUAGAUGCAUACUUUCUGGUGCAACAACAAGCGUUGGAGGGUUUUAGCACCAAACAGGACAAAGCUAAUAAUAUUGCUAAGCUUAUUGCCAGCAUGGUGGAUACCCAAGAUAACGUUUCUCGAGAUAUUCUGAGGUUGUUUCAGUUUUGGACUUGUUUUAUUUGCUGCCGUGUUUAUUUGCACUGGUGGCCAAUUUAGACGGCCAGUGUAUGUAAUAUGCUGCUUUGUUCCCUAUAUUUGCACUAGUGGCGAACUUUGAUGCCCAGUGGAUGUAAUAUGUGUAAUAGCUGUAAUAGCCUAGCAUUAGUUCCUUGCUUAUUUAUUUCCUUAUUGUCUUGUUGAGUUGUUUGCUUGUAGUCACUGUAGUUCUUUUUCCGCGUUUUUCUAGUGGCCACAAUAACCAUGGCAACACACGGACUGUUGUGACCAUGGUCCUGCUACCUGCUGUAGUGACCAUGGCCCUCCAUGGCCUGUACGAUCCAUGGGCCUUCCACGAGCCGUAGGAUCCAUGGGCCUUCUACGGGCUGUAGGAUCCAUGGGCCUUCUACGAGCCGUCUCAUCUAUGGGACUUCUACGGGCCGUAUCAUUGUUUCACCAAACAUGGGUCGUACUAUUCAUGGACCAAUGACGGACCGCAAAAUGGGCCGUAAACGGGCUAGAGUGGGAAUCGUUUGUUUUAUGGCCCGACCAUAACGGGUCAUUAAUAGGCCGUAACUGAUGAUGCUACGAAAAUAGCCCAACGUGUUAACGGGCCACAAGCAGGCCGACUGUAACCACGGGCUGAAUUUGGCCCACAAGCUGAACAGACCAGUCACGGACCGUAAGUAAUCGAAUUCUGGAAAUGAGCCCAAGAAUAAAUGGGCCCUUAGAACGUCGAAAGUUAACACGGGCUGGAAACGGCCGAUGGACUAAUGGGACGUUAAUGGGUUUAAAAUGAUACACUAUUCAUUACGGGCCAGUUUCACCACGGGCCGUUAAUGGGCCAAGUGUUACAAAGGGACUCAUAUGGGCAGAAAGACGUCAUGGGCCAUACAUGCCGGAAGUUACAAUGGGCUGGAAUCAUACUGGACGGCCCAGAUGACGCUACUGGGCCUAAUUCGGAUAAGCCGUAACGGGUCGUGACCUAGUGGGUUGUAAAUGGGCUAUAUGCUAACAGGCCGUUAACAGGCUUUCCAUGGGCCGGCCCGCUACCUCUUUGACCAAGUCAAACAGGCCGGCCUUUUCACCGGAAUGUGCCUCUGUUGGGCCGUGCCACGUGUCAACGUAUCAUAGGCGCCUCCUGUCCAAUGAGUGGAUGACAUCUGUCCCAACGGUGAGCCAACACGUGUUUCCUCCGGCCAAUGAGAAUUUUACACGUGGAAAAUCCCCAUUGGUCCGGGCUGUUAACGGGUUAUCGUAUCCAAAACCGGACCCGAUAGCUUAAUGGCGGCCUGUUACGAUGGAUGCCACAUGUCGGUUACCCUUGACGAAAACACUUCCAUUAUGCACCAUUUAUCGUCAUGGAAGUGGACACUUCCGUGAUGAUAAUUCUGGUAAUGUCAUGGAACACUUCUACUACAACACAGGUAUGACUAUCUUGAUUCUGUCAUAAAAUCGUCAUGGAUGUACAUGCAUGACGGAAAACGUGACCUACUGUGACAAACAUGUAUCAUCACGGAAGUGUAUUUUUUUGUAGUGUAAGGCCGUGAAAAGGAUAGUGAGAUACUUAAUUCAUACACCAAUUUUUGGCAUUUGGUAUCCUAAGAGGUCUUCUUUUGAUCUUGUUGGGUACUCCGAUUCGGACUAUGCCGGUGACAAGGUUGAUAGAAAGUCCACUUCGGGUACUUGUCAAUUUCUUGGUAGAUCUCUUGUGUCUUGGUCCUCCAAGAAACAAAACUCGGUAUCGUUAUCCACCGCCGAAGCGGAAUACAUUGCCACCGGAUUAUGUUGUGCUCAACUACUUUGGAUGACCCAAACCCUUAAGGAUUAUGGGAUACAUGUUCCAUUGCUUUGUGAUAAUGAGAGUGCUAUUAAAAUUGCUCACAAUCCCGUGCAACAUUCUCGAACUAAGCAUAUUGAAGUUCAUCAUCAUUUCAUUCAAGAUCAUGUUGCUAAGCGAGACACCAAUCUUAAGCAUGUUCGUACCGAUAAUCAAUUGGCAAAUAUAUUCACCAAACCGCUUGAUGAGAAAGUAUUUUGCCGUUUUAGAGGUGAAUUGAACAUCAUUAAUGCCUCAAACUUGGAGUAGAAACUCCAUUUGGAUACAAGCAAGGCAUGAGCCUUUUAUAACUAAUCCUUGCUAUUUCUCUUAUGAUGAUGAUCUUAUGUAUUGGAUCUAUAUUAGUACCCUUGCAUGUUAUCUAACCCUUGUAGGUACUUGGAUAAUUCGAAAUCUAUGAGAUUGCAAGCCACUCACAUUUUGAGCAAUCUCUACAUCACGAAGUUCCUUCUAUAUGGUUGUUGAACACAAGGAAGCACGAAUCCACUCAAUAUAUCCUUGGCAAUUUCUAUAUAUCAAAUUUCAUUCGGUGUCAAGCUUCAUGAUUGUCAUCUUAGAUGCACAAGUGCUUCUCCUUGCAAGACUAACCCAUGUAGGAAGAUGAACUCAAACUACAAGUGGUGCUCCAAACUCUUGAUGAACUACAUCAACCUUGAGCAUCCAACACAAGUUCAACUACAUGGUCAAGAUCAACACCACCCAAGGUAUGUCACUCCAUCUUAGAGAAGCUUUGACACAAGUCAUGAGUCAAAGCACAACAAGAUGUGAACACAUCAAAAUGCUUAAACGGAAAAUGGUAACCCCAUUUUGAGCUUAAACGAUGAGUAUGACCUACGAUCAAGUGUUAUCACUUGACUCCUCAGUCUACUCUAACAUAGGUGACUUUGUUGUCGACCCCUUCUAUAUGAAGUUCUCUAGUGCUUCUUUGUUCACUUACUUUAUGCUUUGCAUAUGUUUCUUGCUAGCUUGUUCCCCUUUUCAAAAAAAAACUUCAUCUAGAUCUCUUUUCUUGUGUAUGUUUUUCUCUGCUUUUUCUGUGUCAGAUUCCUUGCAAAUAUUUCAGUUAAUUCAUUGCAAAUCCUUAUGAGAUUUCAAUUGCCAAGUGAGUUGAGUUAACAAAAAAUUUCCUUCAGUAUUGAACUCGGACUCACCGAUCCAAGCUUAUCGGCUAGACCGAACUACAGGAGCAUCUUGUAAAUAGUUCAUCGGUACAACCGACAUGGACUAACCCGGUCUGACUGCUAUGCAUCAUUUUGACACUACUAACUCGGUGUCACCGAUGAAAACGUAUCGGCAUUACCGAUUUCACUGCUGGGAAAACUUUUUUCCAUUGCAUAUUUCAUUUCUUCUCUAGCUCCACUCAAUGAUUCUUAUCCUCUACCCACAUCUUAAACUACAUGCUGCUUUGUAGUGUGUCUCAAGGACCAAACCUAUUUGACUCCUGCUCCAGAAGUACCCUUCUUGGAAAUUGAUGUCAAAGGGGAGAGAGAGCACAUCAAAAGCUUAUCAUAUGGGAGAGAGCACAUCUUAGCUCUUCCAGUCCAAAUGCUAGUAAAACAAGAGGAGGGAAGUAACAUGUACUUAAGAGGGGAAAGACAUGUCAAUAUGGUUGUUUGCACCAUUUCAUGCUCUGAUUUUCUCUUACCCUACCUUCUCCCAUUAUCAAAUAUUAGAUUCAGGGGGAGAAAGAGUCCAUUUCUAGGGAAGAAAAUCUCUUGGAAUUCAUUGCAUAUCUUUAAUCUUUGGGGACAUGUCUAUAUCCAAAUGAAGUACUAAGUACUCACCCAUUACAUGUCAUCCCAGUCUUGGUACUCUUGUGGUUUCUGAAAUUGCUUUAACUAGAGUGUUUUUGUGUUAUCUAACCCUAUUUUCUCAAGUUCACCUCUUCCAAAGCCAGCCCCAGACCACAAGGUAAGUAUAUGCAUCACACUCAUUUGCAUGAUGAUUUCUUGCUAAUGUACAUAUUAUUUGCAAGAAGGAUUCAUGAACAUGAAGGUACACUUACUUUUAUCUACAUCAUUUGCUCUGAUGCAUAUAGCCAAGAUACAUGUAACACAUUGCUUGCUCUAAUAUGCUUAUGCAUUCGCAUGGUCUUAUAUUCCAUCUCUACAUGAUUGCAUACAUGUAGGGGGAUCCUAUGCUUAUUACAUGUCUUCCCAAAGCUUUACUUGUUACUCUUCAUAUCUUUUAUCUAAAGCUUUGAUGUAUGUUGUCAUCAAUUACCAAAAAGGGGGGAUUGAAAGAACAAGUGCUCCCUAGGUGAUUUUGGUAAUUAAUGACAACAUAUCUCUUGUUGGACUAAUACCUUUAUCUAGUAUAUUUCAGAUGAGUUCAACAAUGGCGUGGUAAGGACAAGAGGAUGAGGAAACCCUUCAAAAUGCUAAGGACAAAGAUUGGCUAAAGCUCAAGACUCUUCAUUUCUAUUUUAGUGAUCCAAGAUCACAUUGAGUCCAUAGGAAAGCCAAUUUAAACAUAUAAUGAGGCUAGCCAACUUGCCUCCAGAGAGCUCCCUCGCGCGCAGCCCUUUAUGGCCGUCUGAUCUGGCCUUCGGUGCGUCCGAAUCGUUGGAUAUUUCCAUUACGGUCAAAACUUUUUCACCUCACGGUUGUUUUUCGUGUCCAAUGACGGGUGGGCUCGCCUCGAGCUCACAUUGGCUGGGUCAGCCCCGCGCAUGUGCGGGAGGUUUUUGCCCAAUCCGCUCCUCACGAGCCGCAAUGACCUCCUUGCCCAAUCCCCUCGUCCCACACCAGCUGAACCCUAGCCCCCUUUCCCCGAUCCCCACAGCAGCUGCCUCCACUCCUCGCUCGCAGCCGCCUCCUCUCCUCUUCCAAGCAGACAUGGUUCCAGAUUGGGCAUAGGUCGCCGUCAUGCGAGAGCAGGGCAGCGGGGUCUUCGCGGAGGGGUGGAGGGGGAGGAUGCGGACGACAGGGCGAAGGAGGUGGCUGGCGAGGACGACAAGAAGUAGGGGGAAAGGAGAAGGGUGACGCCUCGCACACGAUCCUCCUCCCCGCGGCGGUUGGCUGGUCGACUCGUCGCGCCACCGUGUCCUCACCUCCUCUGCGCCAUGAGAGGCGUUGCCUUUGCCUCCACCCCUGCUUCGUGCUUCCUCCUUCCUUGGCACCACAGCUGCUGGUCCACUCCCUCCCCGAUUGGUCCUUCGUUGGCCGCCAGAUCUGCUUUUUUCGUUCGUCUGGACCAUUGAUCUUCGCAACAGUUAAACUCAGUUUUCACCUGGCAGUCGUUUUCAUUGUCCAAUGACUCGUGGGCUCGCGCCGCACGCUGGUUGGCUGGGUUACCAGUUUUGAGGUGCAACUGGUUUUGCCCAAUCAGCUUCGCGCGCCCGCACCCAAUCACCUGUGUAUCACCCCACUCCCACCCCAGCCGCCAAACGAACCCUAGCCCUCUUUCUCCUUCCCCUCGAUCCCCACGAGCCGCCGCACCCCUCCCUCGAUCCCCAGUUCCCCACGAUCCUCUCCUAGCCCGCAGCCACCGGCCUUGUCUCUCCACUCGCCUCCUCCUUUCCUCUACCAUGUCGUCGUCGAUCCCACCGCCGGCCUUCUCCUCUGCUUGCCUCCUCCGGUCCUCUUCCACGUCUCCGUCGAUCCAGAUCAGACCCUCUCCUUGCACGCCCCGUGUUCCUCCUUCCAGCCGAUUGGGCACAGACGCACCAACCCUAGCCCCCGAUGCAGCCAUCCACUCCUCCCUCCUCCCUCCUCCUCCCCCCUCCCCCUCCCAUAGCCGCCGCACCCGUCGCUUGGCCCCCUGGCGACGCCUGGGUCGGGGCUGGGAAGAAGGUCCGGGCCUGCGAGGGAAAGCAGCGAGGGUUGGUGUAGCGGCAAAUGCGGGCGGGAUUUGCGUGGAGGGAGGCUCGUCAGCCGGAACAACAGGAGCAAGGAGGUCGUGCAGGAGCGAAUGCUGGCGGGGUCGGCCAUGGAAGAAGGCUCGCUGGACGGAGCAUCAAGAGCAGGGAAGUCGAGGUGGUUCAGGUUUGCCUCUAUCUCCUCCCCACUCUAUCUCUGCCCUCUCUCUUAUUUUCCCCUUUGUCUCGUGGAUAAGGGCGUCAGUGCACCACGAGGAGUAGAUCGAGCGUGGACCAUAGCAGCAGGAUCAAGGAGCUGCUGGUGGUUCUGGCAACAAGGAGGAUGAUCAAGAAGGAUUGGGGAACACAAGCAAAAAAAGUACUGGGGAAGACGGGCGGGACGAAGGCAUGGAGAUCGUUGUUAGGCGCCAACGUGCGUUUGGUGUUGAUUGCUGGCUGGCCGACUGCGGUGUGCUACCGGCGAUGAGAUCCAGGAGGAGGUGGCGGCGGACAGGGAGUCGAGGUAGGGAUGAACUGCCGAUUAAGAUGCAGAGCUGCUGUUUUUAUCAUGUUGUUCUUAUCCUGCUCACUUUGAUAUUUGUGGAAAAUAUUUGCACUAUGGUUUGGUUAAGAUAUAGAGCUACUAUUUUUAUUCUGCAUUACCUCGUGGGUCUCAUUAUAUGGAUUAAGUACAAGGUAUCUGUGGUUCAAAAGUUUUUAGUAACUUGUGUUUAUCUUUACUGUCUGGUGUCGAAUUAACCGAUUAGUCGGUUGAAUUGAUUGUAAAGGAUUGCCCAAUGUGGUUAUCUGAAGAUUGUAGUUUACCAUAUAUGCCUACUAUAAAAUGCUUAUUUUGCUUCACAUGUAAAGGCUGUAACAGGAUGCAUUUCUCUCUCCUUAUUUCUGCAGGACCUUUUUGCUUGCAUUCUCAUGUCUUUUGGCAAGGAGAAAAUUAUCAUUUGGAGGGGAUAAUACAGAUGAAAACAUGCAAGACAGUAUAUGCAAUUGACAUACCCUUCAGUUCUUGAAUCAGAGUUCAGUGGUGAAGAACACUACAAUUUUUUGGUUGAUGGAUUGGUCUGAAUAUAUUGUUAGGGAUUUUGCAUGAAGUGGUUAUUCAAAGAAUGGAACCAAUUUUAUGGUGAGUCUCUCCUGUAGGAUUCUACUAAUGUUUAUUUGGCUUGAAUAAUGUUACAUGACGUAUUUCUCUUCCCCUUGUGUAUGACUUUUUCCUUACAUUCCCGUAUGUUUUGACAAAGAGCAAAUAUUAUUUGCAGUGAAAAAUACUAUGAUUAAAGCAUACACGGAUGUAGCCUGAAAUAUUAUUUGUUGCCUUAGUUAUAAUGAUCUAUAUGAGGAAUUUCAUCCUGAUAUGUAUGCGUACAUUUCUUCUGUUAUAGAUUUUCAACCCAUCUGUAUAUGAGGAAUUUCAUCAUGAUAUGUAUGCAUCCUGAAAUUUAAAAUCUUAACUAGCAAGAUGCCCGUGCGUUGCACGGAACAUGAAGAUGCAUUUGUAUGAGUAGUUUAUCUUGUGGGAGAAAAAACGAUCUUUUAAUGUAAUUGCCAGUUGGCUUUGGUUUUUAUAAGAGUAGCGAGUAGAGAAAUGCAGAAAAAUUAAUAUUUUAAUGUAAUUGCCGGUUGGCUUUGGUUUAAAAAUUUACAACCCAUUUCUUAAAACCUAUAGCCAAUUUUCUGGGGAAGCCCAUUUCUUACUACUUUACAUCCCUCCCUCCUCGUCUUGAAAGAUUUGCUGCCCAGCAGGGCUGAUGAUAGGCGCUUCAGCAUCAAGUUGGACGUGAACUUCGAACUGGAUACAGUAAGUCACAACGAGAAGUCUUUUUUCGUAAUUAAGCAUGACAUCUGCUUCAUUUGCUUCAACUUAUAAUUUAAUUUUUUUUUACUACUCUACUAGCGUAUCCUCUGCCAUGCAAGAGUUUUUGUCUUGGAUAAGAUAGGUUUCAUUUGUACUAUGGAGGUAAAGAAAGUUUACUUGAAGACCGAGCAUGGUUAUAUUUUCCAUGCAAAAUUAUACAACGCAGACGACUACACCUAUUUUGGAUGCAAAACUUGGCGAGCAGUAUGCAAGACUUAUGCAUUUGAGCCUGAUAUGGUUAUCACCAUUGAUAUCCGUCCGGAAGAUGAUAUUGAAGGUAAUAACGACAUCUGGGUCGAUGUUCAGACGCCUCCAGUUAUACCAUUAUGUGAGUUUCUCAACCAUAUUUAUGUCUUUGAUAUUGUUUAUUCAAAAAUAGUUGGCAACUAAUUUCUAUUGUCAGCUUAUUUCGGUUCAAGCAAACAUGUCCAACGCUUGAUAGACACGACCUACUACUAUCCCGGGGCUGAACUAAACUGCGAGGAGCUAAGUCAUUAUGUUUCAUGGCUUGAGGAUCUUGAUACUGUCAACACAAAUUUUCUUCCUGCAUUUAGAAAUGUUAGUACUGAAAACGUGCGACCAAUAGUGUUCGUAAUGAACUACGAUCACAUCUAUUUAAGAAAGAUGGUAACAUUUUUACUAUUUGUCCUCAGUGCAUCUUUUGCAUACAUUAUUUUUUAAGCUAAACUUCAUUGCUAAGUAUGUUACUAUAUGAUGUUCUUCAACAGGGACUCCCGAUGAAUGUUGUGCCUCAUGGGAUCGAGACUAAUGGUACCAUGAGUAUUGUUAGCUUACGGCCAAGAUAUCCUACAAUGCACUUUAGUGCAUUCAGGAUUUCUAAGAGCGAGGAAGUCUUAAUAGUGAAAGACUGGACCAAAUUUGUGAUGGAGGAGCGCAGAGAAGUACUAGGGGGCAGCAAUGAGAAGCGCAGCCCACGAUUAGGAGUCAGGUUCAUCUGCAUGCUCCAACUUGAUGAAGGAGGAGAGCUACACAUGUUUUAUGUUAUUUUACCUGAGAGAGAGCAGCAGGAGUGAUUAGCUAGCUAGAAAUGAGUUUGAAGAUGAUGAUGUGCUACACUAUGAGUAUGAUGAUUAAAUAGCUAGUGUUGGUGGUAAUGACUAUGAUGAUUAAAUAAAUACUGUUGGUGGUGAUUAGCUAGCUUGAAAUGAGUUUGAAGAUGAUGAUGUGCUACACUAUGAGUAUGAUGAUUAAAUAGCUAGUGUUGGUGGUAAUGACUAUGAUGAUUAAAUAAAUACUGUUGGUGGUGAUUAGCUAGCUAGAAUGAGUUUGAAGAUGAUGAUGUGCUACACUAUGACUAUGGUGAUUAAAUAAAUACUGUUGGUGGUAAUGACAAUGAUGAUGAUUAAAUAGAUUGUGCUGGUGGAUUAGAUUCAAGUGGAGGCAACAUGUGGUGCACAUCGAAAGUACUACUAGUCCAAACUAGAUCAAAUUUGGAUUAGUAGUAUACUUUUGACAUGCACCACAUAUUGCCUCCACUUGAACCUAAUCCACCUUCAUUUGAUACACUGUUAUGGACAUAAUGAUAUAAACCUCAUAAUUGGUAUUGUACCAAAAUUUGUAUAACGGCAUAUAAAUACACUAAAAAUGAAAAAAAAGUACUAGUAGCGAUGGAUACAAAACACGCUACAACUAGCUAGAUUAGCAGCAGCGCGGGACAGAACAAGCACUGCCGCUAUGUGUCUUAGCAGUAGCGCUUGUCGCACGCGCUACUGCUAAGUAAUAGCUAUAACGCCUUAUUGGUAGCGCGGCUGCCCGUGCUACUAGUGGGCUUUAAACCCGCGUUACUACUAGGGUUUUCCNNNNNNNNNNNNNNNNNNNNNNNNNNNNNNNNNNNNNNNNNNNNNNNNNNNNNNNNNNNNNNNNNNNNNNNNNNNNNNNNNNNNNNNNNNNNNNNNNNNNNNNNNNNNNNNNNNNNNNNNNNNNNNNNNNNNNNNNNNNNNNNNNNNNNNNNNNNNNNNNNNNNNNNNNNNNNNNNNNNNNNNNNNNNNNNNNNNNNNUAGUAGUGUAUUAUUGCUCUGUUGUACAGAGAGCAGUGAGUUUAUAUUAGCUAAAUGUUAGAUUGGAAUGCAGGAGUAGCAUGACAACACCAAGGUAGAGACCUGAAGAGAAGCAAGGGGAUGGACCAAGGAAACUAGAACUGUGUUGUCGUGAUGUGGGUCGUGUCGUCUUCGUCCAUCUCCAUGGAGGCAUAUAUACAUAGGUUAGGUAUAGGAAAGGAGACCGUCUCCAUGGAACUCUGACUGAUGUGUAAUGUCCACAUAGGACUGGACCGUUUACAGAGUGAGUACUUGAAAAUAGAUUCUUUAUAUAUUGUUUGGUUCCAUCAGCCGCAUAACCUAAAUUAGCAAUUAGGUAUCUAAACAGUGUAGUGUAACCAUUGUGCUUGCUGCAGUUUUACUUUAGUGUUGAAAUGUUUUUGUUGGCUUGUUCUGUACUACGAAAUAUUUUUGUUUUCCCAGCCAUUGUUUUCUAAAUCCUAUCAGCAUAUUACCUGAUAUGGCCUUUGAAGUUUCUGUUUUAUAACGAGCUUUGCGCCGGUCAACUUGUGUAUGGUAUGGUUUAUUCUUUUCUGUUGCGCCUAUUCGAGAGAAAUUUAGAGCUCCACAACCUUCUCAAGACUUAGCAGAGAUGAAACAAUCAAUCAGUUGAGAUGCAUCACAUGAUCUUUUUCUCUUGACAUUUAUGGGUAUCGAACCCAUAGAUCAGCUUAUCAAUGGAACCCUUAUCGGGUUGAGAAGGUGUCACAAAAACUAAAGAGCAGUUUUAACAUGGUCCCUGAUUAACUCUUACCUUCUUACCUAUUAUGUGAAGGGGGUAAGAGGGACCUUGUUAAAAUUAGCGAAAACUCAAAAACAGGGCGAUUAGCUAAGGAAAGAAGCUAAGAAGCAUCAGGAAGGACUUUUAGGAUGGUACCGCGGUCAAAUGCAUCCUAGGAUAGGUACUUUAAGAAUCAUGGUGUGUUCUUCUCCUUUUUUGUUUACCUUAGCCACAUAGGUUAGCCUCAAUUUAUUAUUAUUCUUCUGUUUAGAGUAGAUGCUUCCAUCAGAACUGAUAUCCACAGGGUCAGUUCGAGAACCCCUCAUGCUCAACCAUCGCACUGACCUACGACACCAUCGAUUCUCAAUCAAAACAAUGUCAGCUUAUAAAUAACCAUUGGAAUAACUGCAAUAAUUUACUUCCAUAUGAGUGCAUCCCUAAAUAGAAAGGAUCGCAUCACAAGAUCUAUAAUGCCUAGAAAACGAGACAAAAGGGGUGAGAAUCGCCACAAAAAAGAGGGGAUAUGCAAGAUCGAGAUAAAUGGAAAGUANNNNNNNNNNNNNNNNNNNNNNNNNNNNNNNNNNNNNNNNNNNNNNNNNNNNNNNNNNNNNNNNNNNNNNNNNNNNNNNNNNNNNNNNNNNNNNNNNNNNNNNNNNNNNNNNNNNNNNNNNNNNNNNNNNNNNNNNNNNNNNNNNNNNNNNNNNNNNNNNNNNNNNNNNNNNNNNNNNNNNNNNNNNNNNNNNNNNNNNNNNNNNNNNNNNNNNNNNNNNNNNNNNNNNNNNNNNNNNNNNNNNNNNNNNNNNNNNNNNNNNNNNNNAUCCAUGCAUGCAGACAAAUCCGAAAUCAAAAGAGGUAAGAAAUCGCACCGGUCGGCGGCUGAGGAAACAAAAGGAAGGGGAUAGACAGUCUACGCUGGAUUCGCCCCUGCCGCUUCAUGUUCAGCUCCUCACGGGCCACAGGCAUCGCUCUACAUGGGCUGGGCUAAAUAACAUAUGGGCUAUCCUAAUACCUCCUGAUCCCUAUAUCUCGUAUAUGCACAACAAAGACAUAUUUUUUUCUUAGGUUUCUUAUCUUUUCCCCUCUUUUUUUGCAGGAAAAAGAUGCACGACCAGGUUUCUCAUCAUGAUAACCAUGUUUUCAAACUUGCUAAAAAAUUACAACCAUGCCAACUUUACUCUCUCAUCAUAGUGGCCAUAUUUUCAAACUGAACAUAUUCAUAUUAUGCAAAGUUUCCCUUUUCCCAAACUAUUAUUUAACAACAUAAUAAACAUGUUUAAAAAAUAGCAUGAUUUAGUUGAAGGUUCUUGCAGCAUGAAACUAUUUUCAUCAACAGCAUGUCUUCAGCAGGUCUCUGCGCCAUUUGGCGCAACGGGUCAACUAGUACUAUUAAAAGGGGAUGAGGUGUUGCUUAAUGGUCUCUUGCUCAAAGUGCUUAGUGAUAUUCACUACUAGGGAAAACCCUAGUAGUAGCGCUUGAAAUAUACAUAACAGUAGCGCUGGGAAACGUUGCUCCAAAAACCCUCAACCACUUUCUCACUUCCACAUUUGUCCAAAACUUGUUGGGAAAUGUUGCAUGGAAAACAAAAGAAUUUCUAUGCACACGCAAUGAUCUAUCCAUGGAGAUGCAUAGCAACGAGGGGGAGAGUGUGUCUACGUAACCUCGUAGACCAAAAGCGGAAGCGUUUGACAACGCGGUUAAUGUAGUCGAACUUCUUCUAGCUCCGACCGAUCAAGCACUGAACGUAUGGCACCUCCGAGUUCUGCACAUGUUCAGCUCGGUGACGUCCCUCGCCUUCUUGAUCCAACAAGGUGUCGAGGUAGUAGAUGAGUUCCGUCAGCACGACGGCAUGGUGACGGUGAUGGUGAAGUGAUCCUCGCCGGGCUUCGCCUAAGCACCGCGGAAAUAUGACCGGGGUGUAAACUGUGGAGGGGGGCGCCACACACGGCUAACAAUUGAUGUUGUGUCUUCUAGGCGCCGUUGUGUCUUCUAGGCGCCCCACUCCCCCCCCACAUAUAUAUAUAUAUAGGUGGGAGGGGAGGAGAGGCGGCCAGGGGGCGCCCCAAGUAGGAUCCAAAUCCUACUUGGGGUUUCCCCAAGUGGCGCCCCCCUUUCCUUUUUCCAUCGGAGAAGAAAGGAAGGGGGAAGAAGAGAAGGAAGGGGUGUUGAACCCCCUCGUCCCUUCUCCUAUUCGUCCACCUGCCAUAGGGGGGGGGGCUCCACCCCUUAUGGGCUGGUGUGCUCCCCUCUCAUGGCCCAUAUAUUCCCCCGGGGGUUCCGGUAACCCCUCUAGUACUCCGAUAAAUACCCGAUACACUCCGGAACACUUCCAGUGUCCAAAUACAAUCGUCCUAUAUAUGAAUCUUUACCUCUUGACCAUUUAGAGACUCCUCGUCAUGUCCGUGAUCUCAUUCGGGACUCUGAACAACAUUCGGUCACCAAAUCACAUAACUCAUAUAAUACAAUAUCGUCAUCGAAUGUUAAGCGUGUGGGCCCUAUCGGUUCGAGAACUAUGUAGACAUGAUUGAGACACCUCUCUGGUCAAUAACCAAUAGCGGAACCUGGAUGCCCAUAUUGGCUCCUACAUAUUCUACGAAGAUCUUUAUCGGUCGAACCGUUAUGACAACAUACAUAAUUCCCUUUGUCCAUCGGUAUGUUACUUGCCCAAGAUUCGAUCGUCGGUAUCUUCAUACCUAGUUCAAUCUCGUUACCGGCAAGUCUCUUUACUCGUUCCAUAAUACAUCACCUCAUGACCAACUCCUUAGUCAUUUGCUUGCAAGCUUAUGAUGUGUAUUACUGAGAGGGCCCAGAGAUACCUCUCCGAUACUCGGAGUGACAAAUCCUAAUCUCGAUCUAUGCCAACUCAACAAACACCUUAGGAGAUACCUCUAGAGCAUCUUUAUAAUCACCCAGUUACGUUGUGACGUUUGAUAGCAUACAAGGUAUUCCUCCCGUAUCCGGGAGUUGCAUAAUCUCAUAGUCGAAGGAAUAUGUAUUUGACAUGAAGAAAGCAAUAACAAUAAAACUAAACGAUCAUAUUGCUAAGCUAAUGGAUGGGUCUUGUCCUUCACAUCAUUCUCCUAACGAUGUGACCCCGUUAUCAAAUGACAACUCAUGCACUACAAAAAAAGACACAUCCGUGACAUUUUGGGCCCAACGAAUUUUUUUCCUGUCAUACUUAUGACACUUCUCUGACGAUAAUUGUGAGAAAACCCGGUAUCAUCAUAGAUGUGGUGGGCUCCUACUUUUAUGAUAAAAAUACGACGGAAAAUGGGCUUUUCGUCCUGGGCGGGCCGGAGACGCAGAUGCAUGACAUUCUUUGGGCCGUCCAUGACGGAAAAAACCGUGGUAGAAGCGAGUGCGAGGAAAAUAUCGGGGAGUUCCCGGUACGGUGGGUGGUCGGGGGACGAGCGAGUCACGUUUCUCUCGUACACGUACGCGCGUGAGUGCGAGGGAUUGCACUGCAGGAUUGGGCUCUAACUGAACCCGAGCUAGGCGUUCGCCUACUGAACCCGAGCGAUUGCACUGCAGGCUACGCGUUACUGAGCCCGAGCGAUCGAUAGAUGGUUGUUAACUGAACCCUAUCGUGCGAUUCCUUCGUUUGCUACUGCUGCUAACUGAAGCCGAUCGAACACUGCUGCCUCCUUCCCUUGAUGAACAGUGAGUGUUGUUGGGGGCUUUGGAUGAACAGUUCCCGGUGGGGGGCUGGAUGAACAGGACCCCGUGUUGCCGCUGGAUGAACAGGACCCCGAUCGAUCGAGCCGGUUGGGCGUGGAUGAAUAGGACCCCAUGGAGGGCUGGAUGAACAGGACCCCGUGGAGGGAAGGUUGAACAAUAGCCGGUGGAGGGUUGGUUGAACAGUAGCCGGUGGAGGGCUGGUUGAAUAGUAGCCCGUGGAGGGGUGGUUGAACAGGACCCCAUGGAGAGGGCUGGUUGAACAGUAACCGGUGGAGGAGCGCGCAGUGGAGGCUGGAUGAACAGGAGCCCGUGGAUGAACAGUCGUAGGUGGAGGCUGGAGGAGGUCGACGGUGGAUGAACAGUAGCCCGUGGAGGCUGGAGCUCCAACACAAGUCUGUUUCCUCCGUUUUGCGGUACGCCACACCCCUCCUGAUCAAUAGGACCCCGUUUCCAUUGUAGGAGGUCCGUUUCCUCUGUGUUGCGGUACGCCAGACCCCUCCCGAUGAACAGGAUCCUGUUUCCAUCGUGGCCGGUCGAACACAAGAUCGUUUCCUCCGUUCUGUGGUACGCCAGGCCUCGUUUCCAUCGGCUGUUCCGUCCAAGCCGGUUGGCUCCCGAUGAACACGACGACGCAUUCCGUUUCGCCCCAGCCGGACGACGACGCAGUUUCUCCGUUCCGACCCAGCCAUGUACACGAGCCCUGGCCGUACGUAUGCGCGAGUAGGCAUUCGAGACCCCGCUCGUAUGUACGUACGUGGCCGUAUUUACUUUCUUGCACCGCUGUACGUACGUGUACACGCUACAUGCGCGCAUCUACUACCACACGUGCGCGCCUCUACAUCGACCAGUAUGUAUGUACACGUUCGCGACCAGAAUGACAACGCUACGUACGCUUCGACCGGAUGGGUCCCGCUGUCCGGCACUUCCUUGCAUGCGAAGAUGUAGCUGGUGGGUCCCAGCAGUCAGGGGGGCGAAUCAUUUUUUUUGCCCGUAAUAUGGAUGCACUUCCUUGCGUGCGAAGAUGUAGCUGGUGGGUCCCAGCAGUCAGGGGGGAAACGUUUUUUUCAUAAAAUAUGGUGGCUCGUCCGGUGGGUCCCCGCUGUCAGGUGGAGGAAUCAUUAUUUUCCACGUAAUAAGGAGGCACUUCCUUGCUGCGGCCGUGGACCCAGCUGUCAGCCUCUCCACGUACAGUACUCUUUCGAUGGAAGUCGUUCCUUGACCACGUGGACCACGCCGCGUCGAGAGCACCAGGGCGGUGGACGACGGUGAGGCCUAGGAAGGGGACGACACAGAGCCGGGGAAGACGCGACAGUGGAUGCCCACAUGGAGAGGAGUACGAGGGUUCACUGGUUCGGCUUCAGUGUGAGGCUGCCGUCGCCGCAGAAUAACAGGGGUUCUGGGUGAGUGGAGGGAUGGCCUGGCCAGCGGUGGGAGUAGUAGGGGGCGGUGAGGCCUCCACGGCGGCACAGCCGGCCACGGGAGGCAGGAGCAGGCGGCACGACCGGCGCAACUUUGGGCGGCUGGAGCGAGAAGACCAGAGGUUGAAGAAGCACUAUGGCUGUUGGAUGGACAUCGCAUACGGUCACUGGAGCUAAAAUCGUUCAUAUUGACUAAGUUGACAAAGCCCUCCGUCCCCGUCAUCUUAGUAGGCCCACAAGUCAGCCUCCCACAAAUGGUGGGUCCCAGCUAGCAGGGGGAGUAUUCAUUUUUUUGUGCGUAAUAAGGAGGCACUUCCUUGUGUGCGAAGAUAUAGCUGGUGGGUCCGAGCUAACAGCGGGGGGAACGUUUUUUUCAAGAAAUACAGAGGCCCUUCUGGUGGGUCCCAGCUGUCAGGUGGAGGAAUCAUUAUUUUGCGCGUAAUAAGGAGGCAUUUCCUUGUGUGGACCCCUACUGUCAGCCUCUUCCAAUGGCUGUUGUUUGUUGACCAUGUUGACCUCGCCGCGCCGAGAGCACAAACGCGGUGGACGAGGGUGAGGCCCAGGACGAGAACGAUCCGGAGCCGUUGAAGCCACCGCAGCGGAUGCCCACGCUGAGGGGUGUACGAGCGCUGACUGGUCGGCUGCGGGGUGAGGCUGACAUCGCCGGAAAAUAACAGGAUGUGCGGGUGUGUAGAGGGAUGGCCUGGCGGCAGCACAGCCAGCCACGGGGGGAGGGAGCAGGCAGUCGCGCCGGCGCUGCUUUGGGCGGCUGGAGCAGGAAGAUCAGAGAUUGAAGAAGCAUGACGGCCGUUGGAUGGACAUCCAACAGUCACUGCUCUGUGUUGACUAAGUUGACAAAGCCUUGCGUACGCGUCAAAAAAAAAUUAGGACAUCGUCAACCUAGUAGGCCCAGAAGUCGGCCUCCAAAUCUGUGGAAAACAACUUACAGCCCAUUAGCCAUUAUUUUCAAUAAUUUACAAUCCAUUUGCUAAUUCUUAAGGAUAUUUGAAGCCCAUAUUCUUUUUAUUAGCAUUAUAAACCAUAUAUUCCGGGCACUGCUAAAAACUUCAACGAAAUUUUUCAUAUUUCGGUGGGGUCCGAACUCUUUUAAUCAUGAAAUUUUGAGUCACGCUAAAAUAAUUUUUCAAAAAUUAUAUCAAGAUAAAAUUCAAAAAACAAUUCUCCGCAAAAAAGAAUGAAAUUUAAAAUCUUAACUAGCAAGAUGCCCGUGCGUUGCACGGAACAUGAAGAUGCAUUUGUAUGAGUAGUUUAUCUUGUGGGAGAAAAGACGAUCUUUUAAUGUAAUUGCCAGUUGGCUUUGGUUUUUAUAAGAGUAGCGAGUAGAGAAAUGCAGAAAAAUUAAUAUUUUAAUGUAAUUGCCGGUUGGCUUUGGUUUAAAAAUUUACAACCCAUUUCUUAAAACCUAUAGCCAAUUUUCUGGGGAAGCCCAUUUCUUACUACUUUACAUCCCUCCCUCCUCGUCUUGAAAGAUUUGCUGCCCAGCAGGGCUGAUGAUAGGCGCUUCAGCAUCAAGUUGGACGUGAACUUCGAAGUGGAUACAGUAAGUCACAACGAGAAGUCUUUUUUCGUAAUUAAGCAUGACAUCUGCUUCAUUUGCUUCAACUUAUAAUUUAAUUUUUUUACUACUCUACUAGCGUAUCCUCUGCCAUGCAAGAGUUUUUGUCUUGGAUAAGAUAGGUUUCAUUUGUACUAUGGAGGUAAAGAAAGUUUACUUGAAGACCGAGCAUGGUUAUAUUUCCCAUGCAAAAUUGUACAACGCAGACGACUACACCUAUUUUGGAUGCAAAACUUGGCGAGCAGUAUGCAAGACUUAUGCAUUUGAGCCUGAUAUGGUUAUCACCUUUGAUAUCCGUCCGGAAGAUGAUAUUGAAGGUAAUACCGACAUCUGGGUCGAUGUUCAGACGCCUCCAGUUAUACCAUUAUGUGAGUUUCUCAACCAUAUUUAUGUCUUUGAUAUUGUUUAUUCAAAAAUAGUUGGCAACUAAUUUCUAUUGUUAGCUUAUUUCGGUUCAAGCAAACAUGUCCAACGCUUGAUAGACACGACCUACUACUAUCCCGGGGCUGAACUAAACUGCGAGGAGCUAAGUCAUUAUGUUUCAUGGCUUGAGGAUCUUGAUACUGUCAACACAAAUUUUCUUCCUGCAUUUAGAAAUGUUAGUACUGAAAACGUGCGACCAAUAGUGUUCGUAAUGAACUACGAUCACAUCUAUUUAGGAAAGAUGGUAACAUUUUUACUAUUUGUCCUCAGUGCAUCUUUUGCAUACAUUAUUUUUUAAGCUAAACUUCAUUGCUAAGUAUGUUACUAUACGAUGUUCUUCAACAGGGACUCCCGAUGAAUGUUGUGCCUCAUGGGAUCGAGACUAAUGGUACCAUGAGUAUUGUUAGCUUACGGCCAAGAUAUCCUACAAUGCACUUUAGUGCAUUCAGGAUUUCUAAGAGCGAGGAAGUCUUAAUAGUGAAAGACUGGACCAAAUUUGUGACGGAGGAGCGCAGAGAAGUACUAGGGGGCAGCAAUGAGAAGCGCAGCCCACGAUUAGGAGUCAGGUUCAUCUGCAUGCUCCAACUUGAUGAAGGAGGAGAGCUACACAUGUUUUAUGUUAUUUUACCUGAGAGAGAGCAGCAGGAGUGAUUAGCUAGCUAGAAAUGAGUUUGAAGAUGAUGAUGUGCUACACUAUGAGUAUGAUGAUUAAAUAGCUAGUGUUGGUGGUAAUGACUAUGAUGAUUAAAUAAAUACUGUUGGUGGUGAUUAGCUAGCUUGAAAUGAGUUUGAAGAUGAUGAUGUGCUACACUAUGAGUAUGAUGAUUAAAUAGCUAGUGUUGGUGGUAAUGACUAUGAUGAUUAAAUAAAUACUGUUGGUGGUGAUUAGCUAGCUAGAAUGAGUUUGAAGAUGAUGAUGUGCUACACUAUGACUAUGGUGAUUAAAUAAAUACUGUUGGUGGUAAUGACAAUGAUGAUGAUUAAAUAGAUUGUGCUGGUGGAUUAGAUUCAAGUGGAGGCAACAUGUGGUGCACAUCGAAAGUACUACUAGUCCAAACUAGAUCAAAUUUGGAUUAGUAGUAUACUUUUGACAUGCACCACAUAUUGCCUCCACUUGAACCUAAUCCACCUUCAUUUGAUACACUGUUAUGGACAUAAUGAUAUAAACCUCAUAAUUGGUAUUGUACCAAAAUUUGUAUAACGGCAUAUAAAUACACUAAAAAUGAAAAAAAAGUACUAGUAGCGAUGGAUACAAAACACGCUACAACUAGCUAGAUUAGCAGCAGCGCGGGACAGAACAAGCACUGCCGCUAUGUGUCUUAGCAGUAGCGCUUGUCGCACGCGCUACUGCUAAGUAAUAGCUAUAACGCCUUAUUGGUAGCGCGGCUGCCCGUGCUACUAGUGGGCUUUAAACCCGCGUUACUACUAGGGUUUUCCNNNNNNNNNNUAGUAGUGUAUUAUUGCUCUGUUGUACAGAGAGCAGUGAGUUUAUAUUAGCUAAAUGUUAGAUUGGAAUGCAGGAGUAGCAUGACAACACCAAGGUAGAGACCUGAAGAGAAGCAAGGGGAUGGACCAAGGAAACUAGAACUGUGUUGUCGUGAUGUGGGUCGUGUCGUCUUCGUCCAUCUCCAUGGAGGCAUAUAUACAUAGGUUAGGUAUAGGAAAGGAGACCGUCUCCAUGGAACUCUGACUGAUGUGUAAUGUCCACAUAGGACUGGACCGUUUACAGAGUGAGUACUUGAAAAUAGAUUCUUUAUAUAUUGUUUGGUUCCAUCAGCCGCAUAACCUAAAUUAGCAAUUAGGUAUCUAAACAGUGUAGUGUAACCAUUGUGCUUGCUGCAGUUUUACUUUAGUGUUGAAAUGUUUUUGUUGGCUUGUUCUGUACUACGAAAUAUUUUUGUUUUCCCAGCCAUUGUUUUCUAAAUCCUAUCAGCAUAUUACCUGAUAUGGCCUUUGAAGUUUCUGUUUUAUAACGAGCUUUGC
RNAcentral lists this long non-coding RNA (73659 nucleotides) under Triticum aestivum (bread wheat). RNAcentral describes it as "long non-coding RNA (TAES_LNC004799)". Lineage: Eukaryota; Viridiplantae; Streptophyta; Magnoliopsida; Poales; Poaceae. The record is from RNAcentral.